UUCAUCAAAAUUUGCUUUAAUUUGAUAACUUAGGAUCAAUAAAGCAUUAAAUGCCACUGAAAUGGGCAUGAUAUUUCCCCUAUAAGACUCUAUCUUAUUGGGAAAGGACCCCCUAAUCAUUUUAAUUUUGAGAAACUGGAAUAUCAAUAUAACUCAAGGUCCCAAUCUGUAUGAGGAACCAUGUAAAAAGUUAUAUGGUAAGCAUUUUAGUCAAAUUCUUGUGCAAAUCUGCUGCCAUUUGGGGAUUAACUACAAGAAGAUAAUACUAUAAUGCAAACCAUAAGACUAGAAAGGAUGAGGAUUUGAAAUAUAUUGUAUUACUCCCACAUGCUCCUGGAGAACAACAAAGAAGUUUACACAUGUUUAAAAGACAGAAUUUGACUGCCUUUGGGUGGGGGGAUGAUAUUUGGACCAAUGGUUCUAGGGAGUUCAUGAUAUCAUCACUUGUCUGCUUCAUAAAUUUAUAUGUUUCUGCUCAUGAAGCAGCUUCAGGAUUUGAGAAGGUUUGCUUUCACCACAAGAUGUGAGUUGAUUCCGUGGAUUAUCAGUGGUAGCCUCUUCUUCAUCCCAACUCAGUGAGUUCUGCAAUGAGGAUGCUUUGGAUAUGAUCAUAUCUAAAUUCUUUUAUCUUGGCUCGGUAAGCUGGGAAAUGAGGAUGGUUCGGAUGGCUUGGAUGACUGAUUCAUGUACACUCACACACUUAAGUGGGAAGUGAGAUAAAGGAAGGCGUUUUCACUGCAGGGGAUUGUGAUACCUCCCAUGGAAUGAUCAUAUCCGAAUUCUUCUUCAGCUUGACUCAACAAAUCCAGGAAUAAAGGCUCAUUCAAAUAUGAUAUUGGAAUCACAAAUCGCUUCUUCUGGCUCUCCCCAACAUAGACUGCAAAGUAGCCUUUUGGGAUAUCUAAGGUCUUUGAAUCUGCUGUCUGGCUUGAACUAGAUAGAGAUCGAAUGAGACUUCUCUUUGCAUUAACAAUUGCAGGCAACCGGAAACCCAUGGUCUUAUACAUGCUCAAAGUACAAAAGAAGAAGAAAGGAAUUCAAAGGACCUGAAUUUGGAAAGCAGAGAAAGCUAUGCUUGAGAAGGUGAAGACUUGAGUUGCUCAUGAUGAACUUGGUCAUGUGUAUAUAUAGAUCAAGAGUAUCCAGAAAAUCAACAGCUACAUGAAACAAUUGGUGAAGAGGCACUGAGAUGGGCUCCAAUGAGGGACACUUGAUUGUGAGAAAUCACAUGGGUUUGUCGUCCGUCUAACGCAAUUUGUCCCCAAAAGAUUUCUCCCGGAACUCUUCCUUACCUGCUCUAGGUAACAGACAACAAAAGGACCACCAGAGAUGAUUCAAUCCAAAAGAAUUAUGUCUGUUAGGUAAGUAGCAUUUAUGCUUGAGACAUGCACUUCUCUUUGUUCACACUAAUUCAACUGACCACAUAAUCGGACUAGUUUACUACAAAUUUUCUUGAUUAGGUCUGCUAAUGAAUUGCCCUCUCACUUCAUCAAAAGACCAACAACACUGCAUAUGUCGUGGUCCUACCCAACACUGAUACAAUUGUGUUGUGUGGGAGCAGCAAUGCACCCUAUCAUGUGGCUUUGUAGUUUCGUCUCUGAUCUUCAGUCUCAGCAAACAAAGGAGGUAUUUAUUUCAUUUUGUUAGGCCAAUCCGGACUUAACCAGAAAACAGUAUUCAUUUAAAUAGUUGACAGUAAUUGAUCAAGAAAACUGAAGUUAAUAAAUUGAACUUAAGGUACUCUUUCUAUACUCAAUUUUUAAAAAACCAUUUUCCAUUGCCAGUCUUGUUUAGGCAAGUUCGGCCAAGAGCCUACUAAAAAACCAUUUUCCAUUGCUAGGUUGAUAAUUAAUCUCUUCUUGCCUUUGCUUAUGGCAACAAUUGAAGAUAUCUUAGAGGAUUAAUAUUUAUCAUACAUCUAUUCUUUUUUAUGAAAGACACGAUCGAGCUAGUAUCAUACACCUAUUCUUUGUGACAUACAUAAAUAUGGAGUAAAUCAAGAAAAUAGUCGUGUAUUAUUUGUGAUCCGAUGUAAACUUGGCUUUCACUCACUAGUGCAGGGAAUUCUUGCACAUAUAUUGUGCAAUUUUUUAACCAAAGAACCUUAGUGGCUCGGCUCAGUGCCUCGUUCUAUUCCCUCGUGAUGACUCUCCUUCUCAUUAUUCUUUCAGGGUAAAGAUUCCCAAUAGAACUGAUAAUAUUUUAUUUUGGAAGGAAUGUUAAAAAGUGGUGUACUUCAAGUUCAUGGUUCCAUUUGGCAUGAGGCACCGUGGAUAUAGGAAGUACUAAGUAAACCAUUAUACUUUCUUUUUUAUAGUAAACCAUUGAUGAUUUUAUUUUAUGACAGAGCUACAAGUAUAAUGAAAAAUAAGACAAGAAAGUGGAUCGGGAUUUAAAUUUACAUACAAGAAAGUCAUAGCAUCCAACCCAAAUAUGGAGAGGACCAACAUCUUUUAUACUACAAUGCUCCGAAUGUACUCUCAAUGAUUUCAAAAUUUCGAUCAUGAUUUUGGACUAAAGUUUUUCAACGUCCAUAGUGUCUUCGUUUGUCGGAUUCAUGAACUUUUUAACUUUAUGCUCAGAUCACAAGCAGCCUCAGGCUUACAGAUUGCUUCCUCUCAGCACAAGAUGUAAGUCGACUCAGUGGACGAUCAAGAAUAGCCCCGUUCUCAUCAUUACUUAGUGAGUUCUGAAAUGAGGAUGCUUAUACAUGAAUGAAUUUGGAUCAUAGUUUCUUUUCUUUAGUGUUCACUCAUACACUUAAGCGGGAAGUGAGAUGAAGGAAGGUGUCUUCACUGCAGGGGAUUGUGAUACCACCCAUGGGAUGAUCAUAUCCAAAUUCUUCUUCAGCUUGACUCAGCAAAUCCAGGAACAAAGGCUCAUUCAAGUAAGAUAUUGGAAUCAAAAACUGCGUCUUUUGGCUCCCCCCAACAUAGACUGCAAAAUAGCCUUUUGGGAUAUCUAAGGUCUUUGAAUCAGCUGUCUGACUUGAACUAGAUAGAGAUCGAAUGAGACUUCUCUUGGCGUUAACAAUUCCGGGCAACCGGAAACCCAUGAUUUAGUAUUCUCAAAAGGACAACCGGAUUAUAUUGAAGCUUGGUAUACUAUCUUUCUUCACCAAUCUGAAGAUUUUAGUCAUUCCUGGUUUAUUAAUUUUGAUAAUAAGUUCAAAAGCCCAUUCCCCUACUGGUUUCUUCACUGGUGGGAAAAAUAUGGUCCAGUUGAUGAAAUUCUUCCAGUAUCAGUUCUUGAGUUGAUCCGCCAUUUUACUAAAAGAGCCAAGUUUUCCCUAGUUGAUUUAUUCUUUCCCAAACAGUUGCUGUUUAUUGCCAGAUACAAGGUACCUUGGAUCCUUAAAUGGUCCUAUGCCAUCACCAAGGACACCCGUGUAUUUGCCCGCCAAUUCUCAAUCAAAUGAGUCAAGAAAUGAUGGAGUUCUGUAAGAAAGAAAUUGAAGAGUUGCUUAAUCUUGAGUCAAUCAAAAAGCACAAGACUGAUGGAAACAAUUUCCUGCAUAUUGGUCUUGUUCAAGUCGCCGUUAAGCCCCUAACCAGGUUAGGUUUGAAAGCCUCCAUACUGCUCUGUUUACGCGAUGCCCGGUUCACCGCGUUCAGUGACAGUACGCUAGGAGUUAUUGAGUCCAGUUUGUGUAACGGUCCAGUUCAUUUUGAUUGUUACCCAGACUUCACUGUAAGCCUUAGUGAUCCACAUAUAUUGAGAACCCUAACUCUCAAUAUUAAGACUGAAGGUUAUAAUGUCCUCCCAGGAACCCAACCUUUAGCAUUAGUUUACAGAAUUUACUAUAAGGUCACAGGAACCAAUAUGAACUUCCAGGCCUUAAACAAAAGCCCAAAGGAUCAGACAGUCCUGAUCCAGAGUCACACCUCAGACGCCCAUAUUCAAGUUCCCCAGACCAUUAAAUGGUCAGAAGUUGCCCUUCCAACAGAUUGGACCUUAGUUACCGAGAGCCAACCAGCUCCGAUUCAACGUAGUCUAAACAAUUUAGACUACAUCCAGCAGUACUUAGAUGGCACGGUUAAGAUUAGAUUCGAUAGCCAGCCUCUACAUAAGUCUAAAGUCCAGUUACACCAGUUACCAACCCCAGGUCAGUCACAAAGGCAUGCCCCAGCUAGGCACUCCUUUACUGCCUCAUCCUCAACUCUAGAACGAGACCUAGAGUUAGAAAAAACCAUGAUAGAUUUAAAGCUUGAGUCCCUGAGAAGAUCCUCUCAGGUAACCCAACCCUGCUACGGCACGGUUCCAGUAGAAGAAAAGUCAGAAUCCCCUGAGUCACCUACCCAGUCUGACUUCAUAGUUGAAAACCAGUUAAGAACCCUUAAUAGAAAAUUUAAAAUUGAUUGGUCACGUCUAAACAAACAUCUCAAAGCCCCUGAGAACCUGUCUAGACGAGAUAGUUAUCACCAAGCCUUUCCUGAUAGUAGCCGCCGCUUAGAAAUCUUUAGUGAAUGGAAAGAUUACAUGCGGUCAGCCCAAGUUGAAAUUUUCUACCUUGAUUUUGUUGAAAGCCGUUAUAUGUCAAAUGAUGAGUUAAAAACCUUAACUCAGCAAAAAUGGAAAAUGGCAGAUAAGUCUGUCGUUGAGUCUAGCCAUCCUCCAGUAGAAACCAUAAUUAUUGAGCAUAAAGAUACUCUUAUUCCUGCUACUCCUUUCAAAACAUUUGAAAGCAGUGACAGUAAUAGAAGAAUUCUUGAGCAAAAUAAUUAUACCAACCAGAGUCUAAUUGUUAUAGGAAAACAGUUGGAUACAAUUGAAACUAAAAUUGAUAAGAUAGGUUCUACAGACGUAGAGUCUAAAAAGAAAAUUGAAAAACCAAUUGUCCAGUUCCAGGAUCUUAGGUCUAGCCCGACCCUUAAGAUCACACCUACAAUAAAGAAAAUAGAAGACAUGUUAGCCCAGUUGACCCCUGCCAAAGUUGAAAAAACUGAGAAAUCUGGUCUUAAAACACUGGAUGCCUUUGCAGUAGAAAAUACCUCUGAGUCUGAGUCUUCAGAAGUAAGCAAUAUUUCUAAAAUUGAAAAAGCCUUUCAAACUUUAGAAAUCCAAGUUGAACCCAAAGUUAAGAAAUUAGAAAAGUUUGUCAGCCCCAGUAGUCUGACCAAAAAUUGGUAUCCCAGACCAACACCUCCUGACAUUCAAUUUGAAGAAAGAAACCUGCAGACCCAGUUCUCUGUUUCUUCCGACAAAUUGUAUGAAUGGAAUAUUGAUGGUCUCUCUGAGCAAGAGAUCCUCAAUAAGUUACAACAUAUGUCCAUGGUUGCCAAUAGUUAUAUCACCAAUCACAGUUUCAGACAGUCUGAAAUUGUCCCUCUGUUAGUCACAGGUUUCACCGGUACUCUCAGAAGUUGGUGGGAUAAACACCUGAGUCCUGAGUCUAAAAGCCGUAUAACCUUUGCUGUAAAACUGAAUGAUGACGGUCACCCUAUCUUUGACGAACGAAUAGGUCAAGGUAUAGAAGACGGUGUCAACACCCUGUUUUACACCAUAAUCGAUCACUUCAUAGGAACCCCUAGUAAUCAAACUGCUAGGAUCCAUGACCAGUUAAGUAAUCUUAGAUGCCCAAAGUUGUCCGAUUUCAGAUGGUAUAAGGAUGUCUUCAUCUCUAGAGUCAUGCUUAGAGACGAUAGUAACCAACCAUUCUGGAAAGAGAAAUUUGUUAAUGGUUUGCCAAACCUAUUUGCCCAUAAGAUCAGAACUACCCUCAGUAAUGAAUUAGGUCAUAUUGAUUGGGAUAGUUUAACUUAUGGUAACAUUGUAAGCACAAUUAAUCAAGUUGGCAUGAAAAUGUGUGUUGAUUACAAAAUCGGAAAACAAAUACAGUCCGAUAGGAAAUCAGCCAAAUAUGAGUUAGGAAACUUCUGUGAACAAUACGGUCUCAGUAGCAUUCCGCCCUCUAGAAGAAAUAAGUCUAAGCCAAGUCACCUUAGGAAACGUCGGUUUUCCUCUAAAAGAAAACAUUUUGCAGUUAAAAGUGAUAAUGAGUUUUAUAAGAAAAGAAAAAGUUUUAAAAGAAAAAAUUGGUCUAAAGCCCCCAGAAAAGCCCAGAAGAGUCGACCCAAAACCGAUAAGUCCAAAGUUAAAUGUUUUAAAUGUCAAAAAUUUGGUCAUUAUGCCUCUGAGUGUAAAGUUAAAGAUGCCAUUAAGCAGUUGCAGAUCUCAGAAGCUGAAAGAGAAAAGUUGAUCCAAGUUUUAGAGUUGCGAGACUCUGAAACUAGCAGUCCCGAAACCUUAGUUGCCAGCUCUGGAUAUGAUUCUGAACAAGCUUCAGAUUCCCAGCCUAGUUCCCCUGAUGUCCAAUUUGGUUGCACCGAUAAGUGUUGUAAUAGAUUAAAAUCUAUUUUUGUUCUUACCAAACAGGAAGAACAAGAAGAGUUGUUAAUCGACUUAAUCAGCCGAGUAGAAAACCCUGAGUUAAAGUCCGAUUAUUUGAAAAAAUUGCGAAAAGUCAUUAGUCAAGAAAGCUCUAGUAGUCCUAAACCGCAGCCAGUCAGUUUAGCCACUACUAUAGAAAAGUUCGCUCAGAAAAAGAAAGAAGUUACCUUACAAGACCUCCAGUUAGAAGUCAAAUUAGUCAAACAAGAAUUAGCCGAGUUAAGACAGAUUAGUAACCAGUUGCAGGUUGAAAACCAUACAAUCAGGCAAGACUUAACAAGUCUUCAAAAAGGCAAAAUGCCUUUAGAGCCCAGUAACCAGUCAGACAGCCCUGCUGGUUCUGACGAAGAAACCCCAGUUGUCAACCUAAUCAAACAAGUCAAUUUCCGAAAAUGGUAUUCGAAAGUUACAAUAGUUGUCAAAGAUUUUGAGUUUACCACAGUUGCCUUAUUUGAUUCAGGAGCCGACCUUAACUGUAUUCAGGAAGGUCUAAUUCCUACUAAGUACUACCAGAAGUCUAGAGAAACCCUAAGCACUGCUUCAGGAAAAUCUCUUCAGCUGAAUUAUGAGUUGCCUAAAGCCCAUAUUUGCCAAAACAGAGUUUGUUUUAAAACUUCGUUUGUUUUAGUUAAAAAUAUUACUGAUGAGGUUAUCUUAGGAUUACCCUUCAUAAGUCUGCUUUAUCCCUUCCAGGUAGAAUACGACGGUGUCAUUUCUACCCAAUUAGGUGAGAAAGUUAAGUUUAGUUUCCUUUCUAAACCUGAGUUGCAUAAUCUGAAAGCCUUACAGAAACAGUCUGUCUCUAGGUCCCUUCAGGUUGUCCAAAAAACUAACCAGUUGAAAUUUCUUAAGGAAGAAAUUAAGUUUAAGAGAGUUGAACAACAACUUGCCAGUCAGUCCUUACAGUUGCAAAUUCAAAAAUUUGAACAAAGAUUAAAAGAAGAAAUUUGUUCUGAGUUGCCCACAGCCUUUUGGUAUAGGAAGCAGCAUGUCGUCCGUCUUCCCUACAUCAAAACCUUUAGUGAGAAAAAUAUCCCCACUAAAGCCAGGCCAAUCCAAAUGAGUCAAGAAAUGAUGGAGUUCUGUAAGAAAGAAAUUGAAGAGUUGCUUCAAAAGAAAAUAAUUCGCAAGAGUAAGUCCCCCUGGUCAUGUCCUGCUUUUUAUGUCCAGAAAAAUGCUGAACUAGAAAGAGGUGUUCCCAGAUUAGUUAUCAAUUAUAAGCCCCUUAAUGCGGUCCUAGAAUGGAUUAGGUAUCCCAUACCUAAUAAAAGAGAUCUCAUUAAUCGGUUAGAAAAAGCAGUUGUCUAUUCUAAGUUUGAUUUGAAAAGUGGUUUCUGGCAAAUCCAAAUAGAUGAGUCAGACAGAUAUAAGACUGCAUUUGUCACUCCCUUUGGUCAUUACGAGUGGAAUGUAAUGCCCUUUGGUUUGAAAAAUGCUCCUAGUGAAUUCCAGAAUAUCAUGAAUGAUAUAUUCAAUCCUUACAGUCAGUUUUCGAUUGUUUAUAUUGAUGAUGUUCUAAUCUUUUCUGAGUCAAUAGAACAACAUUGGAAACAUUUGCAUAAGUUCCUUCAAGUUGUCAAACAAAAUGGUUUAGUUGUUUCUGCCAAAAAGAUCAAGUUGUUUCAAACCAAUAUUCGUUUUCUUGGUUUCAAUAUUUGUCAGUCGCAAAUCUCCCCAAUUGAUCGAGUUAUCCAGUUUGCUGAUAAGUUCCCUGAUCAAAUUCUUGAUAAGAGUCAACUUCAGAGGUUUUUAGGAUCCCUAAAUUAUAUCUCUGACUUCUAUCAGAAUCUGAGAAAACAGUGUAAGCCCCUAUUUGAUAGGUUGCAGAGUAAUCCUCCUCCUUGGUCGUCUACUCACACUGAAGUUGUUAAACAGAUUAAAUCCCAUGUCAAGACACUUCCCUGUCUUGGUAUUCCUUCAGUUGAUUCAUUCAAAAUAGUUGAAACCGAUGCCUCUGACAUAGGUUAUGGUGGCAUUCUUAAGCAAAAAGUCAGUCCUAGUUCUCCAGAACAAAUUGUUCGAUUCCAUUCUGGAACCUGGACUCAGUCGCAGCAUAAUUACAGUACUAUUAAAAAAGAAAUUUUAGCUAUUGUAUUAUGCAUUAGUAAAUUUCAAGAUGAUUUGCUUAAUCAAAAGUUUUUAAUCCGAGUUGAUUGUAUGUCUGCAAAACAUGUUUUAGAAAAAGAUGUUCAAAACAUUGCAUCUAAACAGAUUUUUGCACGAUGGCAAAGUAUAUUAAGUAUAUUUGAUUUUGAAAUUGAAUAUUUGAAAGGCAGUGAGAAUUCUGUUCCUGAUUUUCUCACUCGAGAAUUCUUGCAGGAUGCACAAUGGCUCCCAAGAAAGACAAACAAAAAGCAGUAGCCAGUCAACCCAAGUUGCCCAAGUCGCCCAAAUCAACCCAGUCAUCCCAGUCGCUCAGAGUCCUUCCUUCCUCCAUGAGUCAACCUAAGCCAGAGUUGCCCAGGCAAAUAGUUCCAUAUCCGGGUCACCCCCCAUUAUCAGUUGCCACUCCAAUUUCAGUUGCAAACAGAUUUUCCUCUUUAGGAUCCACAGUUGGCCAAAUUCGCCCCAGUUAUCAAUCCACCUUAAUUUCCAGUUAUGACCCCUUUGCAGUUGAGAUCCCUGCAGAGCCAUCAGUUGUGCCAUCAGUUGUCCACAAAAAAUCGUCUCCUUAUUUGCCUAAAAGUAAUUCUCAUUUAUUUGUCAUUGAGUCCACAUAUGAUAUUCAUGCAAAUCCAGUAGAAAUUGCCAAACACUAUUUCCCUCCUGGAUUUCAUUAUAUGCCCCAGAGUCCAUAUAAGUCCCUCAAGUACUAUAGAGAUAUAUUACUUGAGACACAAUCAGUUGAAAUUAAGCCGAUAAAGGAUCGGGAUCAUCCUGAAACCAUUCUUUAUCAUUCUUUGUAUAUUCAUAAAAUUGUAAGCCAAGAAUCUUUUAGUAGCCAUCCUUAUGAGUUGAAAACACUUAAGUCAAAAUUACAAUAUAAUUAUUCUGAUUAUAUUGAAGCCUGGUAUACUAUUUUCCUUCAUCAAUCUGAAGACUUUAGUCAUUCCUGGUUUAUUAAUUUUGAUAAUAAGUUCAAAAGUCCUUUCCCCUACUGGUUUCUUCACUGGUGGGAAAAAUAUGGUCCUGCUGAGGAAAUCUUGCCAGCCUCAGUUCUUGAGUUAAUUCAACAUUAUGCCAAAAAAGCCAAGUUUUCUCAAGUUGACAGAUUCUUCCAGUUGCAAAUGCUUUUUAUUGCCAGGUAUAAGGUGCCUUGGAUCCUCAAAUGGGGUUACAGAGUCACCAAGGAUACCCGAGUACUUGCCCGCCAGUUUUCAGUUAAGUGGUGGGACAAAUUUGAAGUUGAACGAAUUGCUAAAAAUGUCUAUAAUGACCUCCCCCGGGAGCCAGUUCCUCGCCAUGUAUCCCCUACAGGUUCAGUCCGAUCUUCCUUAUCAGUUGAAGGAAAAUCCAAGUCAGAACUUCAGGAGAUUGCACGCCAGCUGAUCAUCCAGGCCUCUCAAAUGGAUGAUGAUGAGGACAAUGAUUCUCCCCCAUCGUCUAGUUGCCAGCCCGUGCAGAGUCCUGCCAAGACAAAGUCAUGGUUUGAUGACAGCCAGGACCCCUACGAUGCCUACGAUCUAGGGGAAUCCUCUCCAUAAUUGCCUCAGUUGCCGACAAACAAGCCUCGUCAAAGAAGUUGCCAAUUUGUCAAAAGAAGUUGCCGACAGACCACUCUGUCAAAAGAAGACGCCAGAUCACGUGAAAGCAGCGGACAAAGCAUCUCUGCUUUUACUUUAGUCAGAUCACCGAAAAGUAGCAGACAAAGCACUGUUUGCUUUUUGACAAUCCACCGAAAAUAGCCGAAAGCAUCUGCAGGAGUCAAAGUUACCUCUACAGUUGCUAAAGUUGAAUCAGGUUGAACACCCGUGCCUCUAAGGCCGAAGCCUGCUUAUAAAGAGAAAAGCAACUAUGGUUUACAUAACUUAGGAUAACAAAUAACUCGGGUAAGCAACUGUAGGAGCACGGGUAUGCAACCCGAUUCAACUUUCAAUUUUGUCUUCUUGUGGUGAAUUCAGAAAUCAACCUUGUCGGCUGGGCUUUGUCAGCUGGCAGGGAAUCUUCUGCUUUCGGCUACUUUCGAUGAAGUGACCAAAGCGAAACAGUGCUUUGUCUGCUGCUUUAGAAAAUGCUUCAUGUGAUGGCUGCUUUCGGCAAAAGCAAACAGGGCUUUGUCUGCUGCUUUCACGUGGGGCAAUUAUGGAGGGAAUCCCUAAUCAGACCCGAGGUCAUAGCCGUCAUAGGGAUCCUGGCUGUCAUCAUACCAAGUCUUUGGCUUGGCAGGGCUCUGCAUGGGCUGGCAACUAGAUGACGAGGGAGAAUCAUUGUCCUCAUCAUCAUCCAUUUGAGAGGCCUGGAUGAUCAGCUGGCGUGCAAUCUCCUGAAGUUCUGACUUGGAUUUUCCUUCAACUGAUAAGGAAGAUCGGACUGAACCUGUAGGGGAUACAUGGCGAGGAACUGGCUCCCGGGGGAGGUCAUUAUAGACAUUUUUAGCAAUUCGUUCAACUUCAAAUUUGUCCCACCACUUAACUGAAAACUGGCGGGCAAGUACUCGGGUAUCCUUGGUGACUCUGUAACCCCAUUUGAGGAUCCAAGGCACCUUAUACCUGGCAAUAAAAAGCAUUUGCAACUGGAAGAAUCUGUCAACUUGAGAAAACUUGGCUUUUUUGGCAUAAUGUUGAAUUAACUCAAGAACUGAGGCUGGCAAGAUUUCCUCAGCAGGACCAUAUUUUUCCCACCAGUGAAGAAACCAGUAGGGGAAAGGACUUUUGAACUUAUUAUCAAAAUUAAUAAACCAGGAAUGACUAAAGUCUUCAGAUUGAUGAAGGAAAAUAGUAUACCAGGCUUCAAUAUAAUCAGAAUAAUUAUAUUGUAAUUUUGACUUAAGUGUUUUCAACUCAUAAGGAUGGCUACUAAAAGAUUCUUGGCUUACAAUUUUAUGAAUAUACAAAGAAUGAUAAAGAAUGGUUUCAGGAUGAUCCCGAUCCUUUAUCGGCUUAAUUUCAACUGAUUGUGUCUCAAGUAAUAUAUCUCUAUAGUACUUGAGGGACUUAUAUGGACUCUGGGGCAUAUAAUGAAAUCCAGGAGGGAAAUAGUGUUUGGCAAUUUCUACUGGAUUUGCAUGAAUAUCAUAUAUGGAUUCAAUGAUAAAUAAAUGAGAAUUACUUUUAGGCAAAUAAGGAGACGAUUUUUUGUGGACAACUGAUGGCACAACUGAUGGCCCUGCAGGGAUCUCAACUGCAAAGGGGUCAUAACUGGAAAUUAAGGUGGAUUGAUAACUGGGGCGAAUUUGGCCAACUGUGGAUCCUAAAGAGGAAAAUCUGUUUGCAACUGAAAUUGGAGUGGCAACUGAUAAUGGGGGGUGACCCGGAUAUGGAACUAUUUGCUUGGGCAACUCUGGCUUAGGUUGACUCAUGGAGGAAGGAAGGAUUCUGAGCGACUGGGAUGACUGGGUUGAUUUGGGCGACUUGGGCAACUUGGGUUGACUGGCUACUGCUUUUUGUUUGUCUUUCUUGGGAGCCAUUGUGCAUCCUGCAAGAAUUCUCGAGUGAGAAAAUCAGGAACAGAAUUCUCACUGCCUUUCAAAUAUUCAAUUUCAAAAUCAAAUAUACUUAAUAUACUUUGCCAUCGUGCAAAAAUCUGUUUAGAUGCAAUGUUUUGAACAUCUUUUUCUAAAACAUGUUUUGCAGACAUACAAUCAACUCGGAUUAAAAACUUUUGAUUAAGCAAAUCAUCUUGAAAUUUACUAAUGCAUAAUACAAUAGCUAAAAUUUCUUUUUUAAUAGUACUGUAAUUAUGCUGCGACUGAGUCCAGGUUCCAGAAUGGAAUCGAACAAUUUGUUCUGGAGAACUAGGACUGACUUUUUGCUUAAGAAUGCCACCAUAACCUAUGUCAGAGGCAUCGGUUUCAACUAUUUUGAAUGAAUCAACUGAAGGAAUACCAAGACAGGGAAGUGUCUUGACAUGGGAUUUAAUCUGUUUAACAACUUCAGUGUGAGUAGACGACCAAGGAGGAGGAUUACUCUGCAACCUAUCAAAUAGGGGCUUACACUGUUUUCUCAGAUUCUGAUAGAAGUCAGAGAUAUAAUUUAGGGAUCCUAAAAACCUCUGAAGUUGACUCUUAUCAAGAAUUUGAUCAGGGAACUUAUCAGCAAACUGGAUAACUCGAUCAAUUGGGGAGAUUUGCNNNNNNNNNNNNNNNNNNNNNNNNNNNNNNNNNNNNNNNNNNNNNNNNNNNNNNNNNNNNNNNNNNNNNNNNNNNNNNNNNNNNNNNNNNNNNNNNNNNNNNNNNNNNNNNNNNNNNNNNNNNNNNNNNNNNNNNNNNNNNNNNNNNNNNNNNNNNNNNNNNNNNNNNNNNNNNNNNNNNNNNNNNNNNNNNNNNNNNNNNNNNNNNNNNNNNNNNNNNNNNNNNNNNNNNNNNNNNNNNNNNNNNNNNNNNNNNNNNNNNNNNNNNNNNNNNNNNNNNNNNNNNNNNNNNNNNNNNNNNNNNNNNNNNNNNNNNNNNNNNNNNNNNNNNNNNNNNNNNNNNNNNNNNNNNNNNNNNNNNNNNNNNNNNNNNNNNNNNNNNNNNNNNNNNNNNNNNNNNNNNNNNNNNNNNNNNNNNNNNNNNNNNNNNNNNNNNNNNNNNNNNNNNNNNNNNNNNNNNNNNNNNNNNNNNNNNNNNNNNNNNNNNNNNNNNNNNNNNNNNNNNNNNNNNNNNNNNNNNNNNNNNNNNNNNNNNNNNNNNNNNNNNNNNNNNNNNNNNNNNNNNNNNNNNNNNNNNNNNNNNNNNNNNNNNNNNNNNNNACUCAUUUGGAUUGCCCGGGCUAGGCGUAGUAGUCGCGUCUCACUAAAGCGCUUUGAUGUAGGGAAGACGGACGACAUGCUGCUUCCUAUACCAAAAGGCUGUGGGCAACUCAGAACAAAUUUCUUCUUUUAAUCUUUGUUCAAAUUUUUGAAUUUGCAACUGUAAGGACUGACUGGCAAGUUGUUGUUCAACUCUCUUAAACUUAAUUUCUUCCUUAAGAAAUUUCAACUGGUUAGUUUUUUGGACAACCUGAAGGGACCUAGAGACAGAAUGUUUCUGUAAGGCUUUCAGAUUAUGCAACUCAGGUUUAGAAAGGAAACUAAACUUAACUUUCUCACCUAAUUGGGUAGAAAUGACACCGUCGUAUUCUACCUGGAAGGGAUAAAGCAGACUUAUGAAGGGUAAUCCUAAGAUAACCUCAUCAGUAAUAUUUUUAACUAAAACAAACGAAGUUUUAAAACAAACUCUGUUUUGGCAAAUAUGGGCUUUAGGCAACUCAUAAUUCAGCUGAAGAGAUUUUCCUGAAGCAGUGCUUAGGGUUUCUCUAGACUUCUGGUAGUACUUAGUAGGAAUUAGACCUUCCUGAAUACAGUUAAGGUCGGCUCCUGAAUCAAAUAAGGCAAUUGUGGUAAACUCAAAAUCUUUGACAACUAUUGUAACUUUCGAAUACCAUUUUCGGAAAUUGACUUGUUUGAUUAGGUUGACAACUGGAGUUUCUUCGUCAGAACCAGCAGGGCUGUCUGACUGGUUACUGGGCACUAAAGGCAUUUUGCCUUUUUGAAGACUUGUUAAGUCUUGCCUGAUUGUGUGGUUUUCAACCUGCAACUGGUUACUAAUCUGCCUUAACUCGGCUAAUUCUUGUUUGACUAAUUUGACUUCUAACUGGAGGUCUUGUAAGGUAACUUCUUUCUUUUUCUGAGCGAACUUUUCUAUAGUAGUGGCUAAACUGACUGGCUGCGGUUUAGGACUACUAGAGCUUUCUUGACUAAUGACUUUUCGCAAUUUUUUCAAAUAAUCGGACUUUAACUCAGGGUUUUCUACUCGGCUGAUUAAGUCGAUUAACAACUCUUCUUGUUCUUCCUGUUUGGUAAGAACAAAAAUAGAUUUUAAUCUAUUACAACACUUAUCGGUGCAACCAAAUUGGACAUCAGGGGAACUAGGCUGGGAAUCUGAAGCUUGUUCAGAAUCAUAUCCAGAGCUGGCAACUAAGGUUUCGGGACUGCUAGUUUCAGAGUCUCGCAACUCUAAAACUUGGAUCAACUUUUCUCUUUCAGCUUCUGAGAUCUGCAACUGCUUAAUGGCAUCUUUAACUUUACACUCAGAGGCAUAAUGACCAAAUUUUUGACAUUUAAAACAUUUAACUUUGGACUUAUCGGUUUUGGGUCGACUCUUCUGGGCUUUUCUGGGGGCUUUAGACCAAUUUUUUCUUUUAAAACUUUUUCUUUUCUUAUAAAACUCAUUAUCACUUUUAACUGCAAAAUGUUUUCUUUUAGAGGAAAACCGACGUUUCCUAAGGUGACUUGGCUUAGACUUAUUUCUGCAUAUGCAUUAGUCUGAAUACUGAGUUAAGUUGCUGCAUAAUCAUAUUCAUCUUCUUUCUCGCUAUCUCUCUGUGUCCCCUCUCUGUUGGUAUCAGAGCCGUAAGAGUUACGGUCUUUGUCUAAGUCUGCUACUCAUUCCCGCCCAAGUGGCUGGUUUAAGCUUCUGAGUAGAAGGUUUUCAUCUUCUUCUUUUCCUUCCUUUUUAUUCUUUGAGUUGUCUGUUGAUUUCACUCUAAGGUCUGACCCGUGAGUCCUUUUUGCUAGAUCUGUAAGUCCCGAGGGUAGGGCGUUUGUGCUGGGCAGGAGACAGAAAAUUGAGUGGAGUUAGUAGAUUUCUUAGAGUCUAAGGAGUGAGUCCGAGAAGUUCCUGUUUAUCUUCUUCCUCAGUCCGUUUGAGUCAAACACUUGAGUAGCCAUGAGUCGUUUUCUUAGGUCGAGUUCCUGUAAGUCAAGCAGUUCUAAGACCAAUAUAAGUCGACUCCCUGAGAUAGUUAAUGAAGAACAAUUUGAAUAUGAUUCUAGUUGCAAAGAACAAUUAGAUUUUAGAGAUUGGAAUAUCCCUAAAGUCCCUAGUCAAAAAAUCUAUAAGAAACAUUGGUUGCCUUCCAGUUUUAAUUGCACCACACAUGUCAAAACAGUUGAACAAGUUUACGCUCUUAGUAAAGAACACGAAACUUGCCAGUUGCUUAAUCUUGAGUCAAUCAAAAAGCACAAGACUGAUGGAAACAAUUUCCUGCAUAUUGGUCUUGUUCAAGUUGCCGUUAAGCCCCUAACCAGGUUAGGUUUGAAAGCCUCCAUACUGCUCUGUUUACGCGAUGCCCGGUUCACCGCGUUCAGUGACAGUACGCUAGGAGUUAUUGAGUCCAGUUUGUGUAACGGUCCAGUUCAUUUUGAUUGUUACCCAGACUUCACUGUAAGCCUUAGUGAUCCACAUAUAUUGAGAACCCUAACUCUCAAUAUUAAGACUGAAGGUUAUAAUGUCCUCCCAGGAACCCAACCUUUAGCAUUAGUUUACAGAAUUUACUAUAAGGUCACAGGAACCAAUAUGAACUUCCAGGCCUUAAACAAAAGCCCAAAGGAUCAGACAGUCCUGAUCCAGAGUCACACCUCAGACGCCCAUAUUCAAGUUCCCCAGACCAUUAAAUGGUCAGAAGUUGCCCUUCCAACAGAUUGGACCUUAGUUACCGAGAGCCAACCAGCUCCGAUUCAACGUAGUCUAAACAAUUUAGACUACAUCCAGCAGUACUUAGAUGGCACGGUUAAGAUUAGAUUCGAUAGCCAGCCUCUACAUAAGUCUAAAGUCCAGUUACACCAGUUACCAACCCCAGGUCAGUCACAAAGGCAUGCCCCAGCUAGGCACUCCUUUACUGCCUCAUCCUCAACUCUAGAACGAGACCUAGAGUUAGAAAAAACCAUGAUAGAUUUAAAGCUUGAGUCCCUGAGAAGAUCCUCUCAUGUAACCCAACCCUGCUACGGCACGGUUCCAGUAGAAGAAAAGUCAGAAUCCCCUGAGUCACCUACCCAGUCUGACUUCAUAGUUGAAAACCAGUUAAGAACCCUUAAUAGAAAAUUUAAAAUUGAUUGGUCACGUCUAAACAAACAUCUCAAAGCCCCUGAGAACCUGUCUAGACGAGAUAGUUAUCACCAAGCCUUUCCUGAUAGUAGCCGCCGCUUAGAAAUCUUUAGUGAAUGGAAAGAUUACAUGCGGUCAGCCCAAGUUGAAAUUUUCUACCUUGAUUUUGUUGAAAGCCGUUAUAUGUCAAAUGAUGAGUUAAAAACCUUAACUCAGCAAAAAUGGAAAAUGGCAGAUAAGUCUGUCGUUGAGUCUAGCCAUCCUCCAGUAGAAACCAUAAUUAUUGAGCAUAAAGAUACUCUUAUUCCUGCUACUCCUUUCAAAACAUUUGAAAGCAGUGACAGUAAUAGAAGAAUUCUUGAGCAAAAUAAUUAUACCAACCAGAGUCUAAUUGUUAUAGGAAAACAGUUGGAUACAAUUGAAACUAAAAUUGAUAAGAUAGGUUCUACAGACGUAGAGUCUAAAAAGAAAAUUGAAAAACCAAUUGUCCAGUUCCAGGAUCUUAGGUCUAGCCCGACCCUUAAGAUCACACCUACAAUAAAGAAAAUAGAAGACAUGUUAGCCCAGUUGACCCCUGCCAAAGUUGAAAAAACUGAGAAAUCUGGUCUUAAAACACUAGAUGCCUUUGCAGUAGAAAAUACCUCUGAGUCUGAGUCUUCAGAAGUAAGCAAUAUUUCUAAAAUUGAAAAAGCCUUUCAAACUUUAGAAAUCCAAGUUGAACCCAAAGUUAAGAAAUUAGAAAAGUUUGUCAGCCCCAGUAGUCUGACCAAAAAUUGGUAUCCCAGACCAACACCUCCUGACAUUCAAUUUGAAGAAAGAAACCUGCAGACCCAGUUCUCUGUUUCUUCCGACAAAUUGUAUGAAUGGAAUAUUGAUGGUCUCUCUGAGCAAGAGAUCCUCAAUAAGUUACAACAUAUGUCCAUGGUUGCCAAUAGUUAUAUCACCAAUCACAGUUUCAGACAGUCUGAAAUUGUCCCUCUGUUAGUCACUGGUUUCACCGGUACUCUCAGAAGUUGGUGGGAUAAACACCUGAGUCCUGAGUCUAAAAGCCGUAUAACCUUUGCUGUAAAACUGAAUGAUGACGGUCACCCUAUCUUUGACGAACGAAUAGGUCAAGGUAUAGAAGACGGUGUCAACACCCUGUUUUACACCAUAAUCGAUCACUUCAUAGGAACCCCUAGUAAUCAAACUGCUAGGAUCCAUGACCAGUUAAGUAAUCUUAGAUGCCCAAAGUUGUCCGAUUUCAGAUGGUAUAAGGAUGUCUUCAUCUCUAGAGUCAUGCUUAGAGACGAUAGUAACCAACCAUUCUGGAAAGAGAAAUUUGUUAAUGGUUUGCCAAACCUAUUUGCCCAUAAGAUCAGAACUACCCUCAGUAAUGAAUUAGGUCAUAUUGAUUGGGAUAGUUUAACUUAUGGUAACAUUGUAAGCACAAUUAAUCAAGUUGGCAUGAAAAUGUGUGUUGAUUACAAAAUCGGAAAACAAAUACAGUCCGAUAGGAAAUCAGCCAAAUAUGAGUUAGGAAACUUCUGUGAACAAUACGGUCUCAGUAGCAUUCCGCCCUCUAGAAGAAAUAAGUCUAAGCCAAGUCACCUUAGGAAACGUCGGUUUUCCUCUAAAAGAAAACAUUUUGCAGUUAAAAGUGAUAAUGAGUUUUAUAAGAAAAGAAAAAGUUUUAAAAGAAAAAAUUGGUCUAAAGCCCCCAGAAAAGCCCAGAAGAGUCGACCCAAAACCGAUAAGUCCAAAGUUAAAUGUUUUAAAUGUCAAAAAUUUGGUCAUUAUGCCUCUGAGUGUAAAGUUAAAGAUGCCAUUAAGCAGUUGCAGAUCUCAGAAGCUGAAAGAGAAAAGUUGAUCCAAGUUUUAGAGUUGCGAGACUCUGAAACUAGCAGUCCCGAAACCUUAGUUGCCAGCUCUGGAUAUGAUUCUGAACAAGCUUCAGAUUCCCAGCCUAGUUCCCCUGAUGUCCAAUUUGGUUGCACCGAUAAGUGUUGUAAUAGAUUAAAAUCUAUUUUUGUUCUUACCAAACAGGAAGAACAAGAAGAGUUGUUAAUCGACUUAAUCAGCCGAGUAGAAAACCCUGAGUUAAAGUCCGAUUAUUUGAAAAAAUUGCGAAAAGUCAUUAGUCAAGAAAGCUCUAGUAGUCCUAAACCGCAGCCAGUCAGUUUAGCCACUACUAUAGAAAAGUUCGCUCAGAAAAAGAAAGAAGUUACCUUACAAGACCUCCAGUUAGAAGUCAAAUUAGUCAAACAAGAAUUAGCCGAGUUAAGGCAGAUUAGUAACCAGUUGCAGGUUGAAAACCACACAAUCAGGCAAGACUUAACAAGUCUUCAAAAAGGCAAAAUGCCUUUAGUGCCCAGUAACCAGUCAGACAGCCCUGCUGGUUCUGACGAAGAAACUCCAGUUGUCAACCUAAUCAAACAAGUCAAUUUCCGAAAAUGGUAUUCGAAAGUUACAAUAAUUGUCAAAGAUUUUGAAUUUACCACAGUUGCCUUAUUUGAUUCAGGAGCUGACCUUAACUGCAUUCAGGAAGGUCUAAUUCCUACUAAGUAUUACCAGAAGUCUAGAGAAACCCUAAGCACUGCCUCAGGAAAAUCUCUCCAGUUGAAUUAUGAGUUGCCUAAAGCCCAUAUUUGCCAAAACAAAGUUUGUUUUAAAACUUCGUUUGUUUUAGUUAAAAAUAUUACUGAUGAGGUUAUCUUAGGAUUACCCUUCAUAAGUCUGCUUUAUCCCUUCCAGGUAGAAUACGACGGUGUCAUUUCUACCCAAUUAGGUGAGAAAGUUAAGUUUAGUUUCCUUUCUAAACCUGAGUUGCAUAAUCUGAAAGCCUUACAGAAACAUUCUGUCUCUAGGUCCCUUCAGGUUGUCCAAAAAACUAACCAGUUGAAAUUUCUUAAGGAAGAAAUUAAGUUUAAGAGAGUUGAACAACAACUUGCCAGUCAGUCCUUACAGUUGCAAAUUCAAAAAUUUGAACAAAGAUUAAAAGAAGAAAUUUGUUCUGAGUUGCCCACAGCCUUUUGGUAUAGGAAGCAGCAUGUCGUCCGUCUUCCCUACAUCAAAACCUUUAGUGAGAAAAAUAUCCCCACUAAAGCCAGGCCAAUCCAAAUGAGUCAAGAAAUGAUGGAGUUCUGUAAGAAAGAAAUUGAAGAGUUGCUUCAAAAGAAAAUAAUUCGCAAGAGUAAGUCCCCCUGGUCAUGUCCUGCUUUUUAUGUCCAGAAAAAUGCUGAACUAGAAAGAGGUGUUCCCAGAUUAGUUAUCAAUUAUAAGCCCCUUAAUGCGGUCCUAGAAUGGAUUAGGUAUCCCAUACCUAAUAAAAGAGAUCUCAUUAAUCGGUUAGAAAAAGCAGUUGUCUAUUCUAAGUUUGAUUUGAAAAGUGGUUUCUGGCAAAUCCAAAUAGAUGAGUCAGACAGAUAUAAGACUGCAUUUGUCACUCCCUUUGGUCAUUACGAGUGGAAUGUAAUGCCCUUUGGUUUGAAAAAUGCUCCUAGUGAAUUCCAGAAUAUCAUGAAUGAUAUAUUCAAUCCUUACAGUCAGUUUUCGAUUGUUUAUAUUGAUGAUGUUCUAAUCUUUUCUGAGUCAAUAGAACAACAUUGGAAACAUUUGCAUAAGUUCCUUCAAGUUGUCAAACAAAAUGGUUUAGUUGUUUCUGCCAAAAAGAUCAAGUUGUUUCAAACCAAUAUUCGUUUUCUUGGUUUCAAUAUUUGUCAGUCGCAAAUCUCCCCAAUUGAUCGAGUUAUCCAGUUUGCUGAUAAGUUCCCUGAUCAAAUUCUUGAUAAGAGUCAACUUCAGAGGUUUUUAGGAUCCCUAAAUUAUAUCUCUGACUUCUAUCAGAAUCUGAGAAAACAGUGUAAGCCCCUAUUUGAUAGGUUGCAGAGUAAUCCUCCUCCUUGGUCGUCUACUCACACUGAAGUUGUUAAACAGAUUAAAUCCCAUGUCAAGACACUUCCCUGUCUUGGUAUUCCUUCAGUUGAUUCAUUCAAAAUAAUUGAAACCGAUGCCUCUGACAUAGGUUAUGGUGGCAUUCUUAAGCAAAAAGUCAGUCCUAGUUCUCCAGAACAAAUUGUUCGAUUCCAUUCUGGAACCUGGACUCAGUCGCAGCAUAAUUACAGUACUAUUAAAAAAGAAAUUUUAGCUAUUGUAUUAUGCAUUAGUAAAUUUCAAGAUGAUUUGCUUAAUCAAAAGUUUUUAAUCCGAGUUGAUUGUAUGUCUGCAAAACAUGUUUUAGAAAAAGAUGUUCAAAACAUUGCAUCUAAACAGAUUUUUGCACGAUGGCAAAGUAUAUUAAGUAUAUUUGAUUUUGAAAUUGAAUAUUUGAAAGGCAGUGAGAAUUCUGUUCCUGAUUUUCUCACUCGAGAAUUCUUGCAGGAUGCACAAUGGCUCCCAAGAAAGACAAACAAAAAGCAGUAGCCAGUCAACCCAAGUUGCCCAAGUCGCCCAAAUCAACCCAGUCAUCCCAGUCGCUCAGAGUCCUUCCUUCCUCCAUGAGUCAACCUAAGCCAGAGUUGCCCAGGCAAAUAGUUCCAUAUCCGGGUCACCCCCCAUUAUCAGUUGCCACUCCAAUUUCAGUUGCAAACAGAUUUUCCUCUUUAGGAUCCACAGUUGGCCAAAUUCGCCCCAGUUAUCAAUCCACCUUAAUUUCCAGUUAUGACCCCUUUGCAGUUGAGAUCCCUGCAGAGCCAUCAGUUGUGCCAUCAGUUGUCCACAAAAAAUCGUCUCCUUAUUUGCCUAAAAGUAAUUCUCAUUUAUUUGUCAUUGAGUCCACAUAUGAUAUUCAUGCAAAUCCAGUAGAAAUUGCCAAACACUAUUUCCCUCCUGGAUUUCAUUAUAUGCCCCAGAGUCCAUAUAAGUCCCUCAAGUACUAUAGAGAUAUAUUACUUGAGACACAAUCAGUUGAAAUUAAGCCGAUAAAGGAUCGGGAUCAUCCUGAAACCAUUCUUUAUCAUUCUCUUUAUAUUCAUCAAAUUAUCAGUCAACAAUCUUUCAGUAGCCAUCCUUAUGAGUUGAAAUUUCUUAUGUCAAAAUUACAAUAUAAUUAUUCGGAUUAUAUUGAAGCUUGGUAUACUAUCUUUCUUCACCAAUCUGAAGAUUUUAGUCAUUCCUGGUUUAUUAAUUUUGAUAAUAAGUUCAAAAGCCCAUUCCCCUACUGGUUUCUUCACUGGUGGGAAAAAUAUGGUCCAGUUGAUGAAAUUCUUCCAGUAUCAGUUCUUGAGUUGAUCCGCCAUUUUACUAAAAGAGCCAAGUUUUCCCUAGUUGAUUUAUUCUUUCCCAAACAGUUGCUGUUUAUUGCCAGAUACAAGGUACCUUGGAUCCUUAAAUGGUCCUAUGCCAUCACCAAGGACACCCGUGUAUUUGCCCGCCAAUUCUCAAUCAAAUGGUGGGACAAGUUUGAAGUUGACAGAAUUGCCAAAUACGUCUACAGUGACCUCCCCCGGGAGCCAGUUGCUCACCCUGUAUCUCCUACAGGCUCAGUCAGAUCAUCCUUAUCAAUCGAAGGAAAAUCUAAAGCUGAGCUCCAGGAAAUUGCACGCCAGCUGAUCAUCCAGGCUUCUCAGAUGGAUGAUGAUGAGGACAAUGAUUCUCCUCCAUCGUCUAGUUGCCAACCCAUGCUGAGUCCUGCCAAGACAAAGUCAUGGUUCGAUGACAGCCAGGACCCCUAUGAUGCCUACGACCUAGGGGAAUCUUCUCCAUAAUUGCCUCAGUUGCCGACAAGCAAGCCUCGUUGCCAAUUUGUCAAAAGUAGUUGCCGACAGACCACUCUGUCAAAAGAAGUUGCUAGAUCACGUGAAAGCAGCGGACAAAGCAUCUCUGCUUUUACUUUUGUCAGAUCACCAAGAAGCAGCAGACAAAGCACUGUUUGCUUUUUGACAAUCCACCGAAAGUAGCCGAAAGCAUCUGCAGGAGUCAAAGUUACCUCUACAGUUGCUAAAGUUGAAUCAGGUUGAACAUCCGUGCCUCUACAGCUGUCCAACCAUAGUUGCUUUUGUAAACCAUAGUUGAAAGUUGUCUUUAAAUUCAGGCUUCGGCCUCAGUUGUAGGCAGAACUGGUUUUACCAGCUGCAUUUUAUUUUCCUAGUUUUAAAGAUUCUCUCUGAAACACCUUUAGAGAAAUCACGCUUGUACAUAGUCUAAGUGUGUUAAGUUUGCAGUUGCAACCUCUGUGAGUAUAAUAAAAGUUGCUAUUUUUAAAUUAUUCUAUUAUAUAUAUAUAUAUAUAGAUGAAAGGUAUGCAAAAAAUCAUCAGGCACAUGAAAUGAUUGGUACUGAAGGGGCACUGAGAGGAGAAGCAAUGAGGGCCACUAGCUUGUACCAAAUCACAUGGGUUUGUUUUCGUGCUCAUGUAACCCUUCCGCAAGAGAUUUCUCAUGAAAAUGAUCAAACUCUAUCCUUGUGUAGAAAUAGGAUUCCCUACCUAGCUAGCUCCUCUGGUUAACAGACAACAAAAGGGACCACCAUGUUCUUGAAAAAUGAAUUCAUUGCGCCUCUGGUUAAUUAACAGUACUGCAUAUGGUAUGCCCUACAACAAAAACUUGUUAGCUUGUGUGAUAAACUAGUAGUCUCUUUCUUUUUCAUCUUUUUAUAAAUGCUGCUUCAAAAGACAAGAAUUUGUGGUGCUAUGAGAAUAUACAUGGACCCUCGGAUGCUCUAUGAUUUGGUUGGUUGGGAGCACCAAACCACCCCUUGCAUGUGGCUUUGUCUUUCAUCUAUGAUAUUCAGGCCCAACAAGCAAGGGAAGUCUUUCAUUUGUUUGAAGAAUUGAUACUUACUGAGAAUGCAGUAGGUAAUGAGUACAUAUCUAAAAAGCAUAUGAUAUCAAGAGAGUGCUAAUCUGUAGCAAUUAUAAAUGUUGGAUACAUACUUUUUACUUAAAAGUAAAACAUACUCAUAGACUUGCUGUAUAUAUUCCUUGUCUCUCAAGGACUUGAUUCUUGCCUAGAAUAGGAAAUCCUUUGUGUAGACACCAAGCAAAGCAUUGUAUAUAAUUAUCACAUGAUUGUUCAAUGAAAAUCAUCGAGAAUAUUCAAAACCUUUCAUGGUAUCAAGAGCCUGAGACUCACAGUCCUCGAUCCUCAAUUUUCUUGUUCCCUGUCUUUUUUUUUUCUUUUUUUUUUUUUGGCACCAUGGCUUCUUCCUCCUCUAUUGAUUUUCCUGGCAUUCAUCAUGUUAUCUCCAUUCGUAUCAAGCGUGAUAAUUAUUUGACAUGGCUUGCUCAAAUUGUUCCUAUCCUUCGCAUCCGCCGCUUACUCAGCUUCGUUGACGACACUUCUCUAUGUCCUCCGACCAUUCCUGACCCAAAUGCUAAGGCCGAUGAAUUUUCUUUUCUGUCUCUCCUCCCCAACCCAAAGUAUGAUGAUUGGUGUUUACACCAUAAUGAACCGAGCAGACCCAGCACCAAAGUGACUAGUACCAAGGCAGCCACGCCUUCUCCUGUGCCGAAGGAAGACACACUUCCGAGGUGCCAGACACCAUAAUGAACCGAGCAGACCCAGCACCAAAGUGACUAGCACCAAGGCAGCCACGCCUUCUCCUGUGCCGAAGGAAGACACACUUCCGAGGUGCCAGACACCUACCGAAGCUCCCAGCUGCCAAACCUAAUCUCCAGGACACGUGUCGCCACCACGACGACUUGCACAAAGUCCCACAUCGGAACUUUGUGCAAACCUCCUACUUUCACCUCCCUAUAAAUAGGGAACAGUACCCAGGUAAAAAGGGUAACUAUUCUCCCACUUUUACUGUUACUCUGCCAGAAUUACUACUUGUAACUGACUUAGGCAUCGGAGAGCCUUCGGCCGGCACCACACCGAUGUCCGAAGCUUAACGAUUGCUUCUCCCACUUUGUCUUCUGCAGGUUUCCCAUCAACCUAUAUUUCACCAAGGGCCUCAGCUCUCUUCCCUACCGAAGACCCCGCAUACCUAAUCACUAAGUUGGACUCACUAUUGGCCGGGCCAUUUUGAGCAUCAACAAUUGGGUCCAGAAAGAUCAGCUUGUUUUCUCUCUCUCAUCAACGGUUCCUUUCACCAUAAAGUUCUCACCACCAUAGCUUCCAAGACCACCGCGUGUGACACUUGGGUAGCCCUUGAAACUCGUUUUGCUUCUCCAAAUCAGAAUCGUCUUCUUCAACUUCACAGUAACUUGCUUCGCACAACCCGUGGUGAAUCUUCCAUCACUGAUUUCCUUAAUCGUAUUAACUCGAUUGACGAUAACUUGGCUCUAGCAGGUGCUUCAGUUGCUAACUCUGAUCUCCUUGUUGUGGUUACGAACAACGUUUGUCCUCUUUAUGAAAAUACCAUUGCCGAUACUCAAGCUCGUGAGAAACCCAUCAAUAUGCCUGAUCUUGAUGCUUUCCUCUUGUCUGUGGAACGUCGCCUGUAAUUAUCUUCUUCUCUGGUCAUCUAUUCUGGUGCGACAGCUAUGGAAGCUUCCCACGGUGGUCUCGGUGGACGCGGUUUUGGCGAUCGCGCUGGGUUUGCUGGUCGUGGUCCUGAUCUUCGCAACUCAUUUUCUCCCUCACGACCUGGUUUUACUUCUGGUCGCGGUUUCCCUGGCGCUUCUUAUGACGCCUCUAGUCCUGCCUCACAUCAACAACGUUUUGUAGCAAUUUUGAGCCGAGUGUUCUUGGCCCACCUCCUUCUGGUUCUACUGCUUCCUCUUUUGGGCCUCAUUCUGCCUGUGGGCCUCUUCAAUGUUUCAAUUGUCAUGGUUUUGGCCACAUCGCAGCUGUCAGUCCUUCCAAGAUGUCUUCUGUGCCUUCUCCUCCGUCUCGUCUUCAAGACAUGACUGCUCAAUAUCCUUCACAUGGUGGCCAUCAACAGUGGGUUGCUGAUACCGAUGCAAACACUCAUUUUACUAAUGACCUGAGCUGCUUAUCCCUUGCUAGACAGUAUCAUGGUUCUGACAAUGUUGAAGGUGUGCUUGGUGGAAUAGGUUUGCCUAUUAAAAAUAUUGGUCACUCUCAUUUCUCUCACCUUAAUUCUUCUUUUCAUCUUAAUGAUAUUCUUCAUUGUCCCGAUGCAUCUCUUCCUCUUUUAUCUAUUCAUAAAUUUCCUACUAACAAAAAUUGUUUCUUCACUUUUUUUCCUGAUUGUUAUUUUAUCCAGGAUUUGGGGACGAGGAAGACACUUUUCUUGGGCAAGAGUAGUAAUGGCCUAUAUCCCUUUUCGUUUACUCCGAAUGAGUUUUUUCAAGUUUUGCGUGAUCGCGUUGCUUUACUAGGUGUCUGUGUUGACCACUCUAUGUGGCACUCUCACCUUGGUCAUCCUGCUUCGUCUACCAUUCGAGAUGACGUGCGAGUCAAGCUAUUGAAGUCUCGGAAGAACAACGAGCCUUUCGUGGAUGCGAAUGAUCUUGAUGCUAGGAUCAUCACCUUCCGUCCUUUUUACUUCUCCUUGGGCUUCAAAUUCCCGCUGUCAAAGCUUUUCAAGGAGGUGUUCUGCGCCAUGGGGUGUGCUCCGAGCCAGUGUACUCCAAACGCUUACCGAGCGAUCAUGUGCUUUGAGAAUUUGAGUCGUUUCUUCAUGUUGGAGCUGACGGUGCGAGAGUUCUUUUAUUUUUUCGAAGUGAGGCACUUCGAGCAGUAUGCCCAAGUUCGCGUCUACAAGGCCAAGCUGUUCAACAGUCUUAGUCAAGGGGAUCACGCUUGGCAUGACGACGUGUUGGAGGUCAGCGGACGGUGGGAAGGCGACGUCGGUGACAGCCCACUUGUUCCCAUCACCUAUUGCGAUGGUAUGUCUCUUUGCAAUUUUUGAUGCGCUCCUGUUAUUUGAAUUUCUUGAAGUGUGGCUGACUAACUUCUGUCUUCUGCUUGCAGUGAGUGACAUCAGCAAGCAAUUGGAGCUUGGGCCGGACAUGGCUAAGGUCCGUCGUGUUUUGAACAUCCCUCUAAGGUUUUGCGAGUGACGCUGGCUGUUGAGUGAGUACCGGGAGGAAGACGGUGGUUUGCCCCCUGCCGAGGAUGUCGAAAGGUGGAAGCAGAACGGUCCUGACCCUGAUGAUCUGCUUGGCGGACAAGAAGAAUGUUCUGCUGAAUCUCUCUCAAAGAGAAAAGCUGCUGCCAAAUCUUCAAGAGGUGAAGCUACUUCUUCGCACGCGAAGGAUGGGUCUCAUUCGAGGAAGAAACCAAGGCUUCCUUCUGCUGAGAAGACUCAAGUAGGGUAUGUUCCCUUAUCAUCUGCCAGGGUCAAGCAUCUCGUGGGUGCAGAUAGUACGAAGGUUGGUGGUAUGCGCGGUAUUCGGGGUGUUCUACACGAGCCUCCUGCUGACACGCUCGACAACCAUGAUAUGUUUCGUGAAACGGCUCGUGCUCGACCUAGUUCUGUCGAGCGUCAAAAAGAUGCAGGCAUUCCUCCUAGAAGUUCAAGUCGUCUGCAUCGGUCAAAAGAUGGAGAUCGAAACGGGAGGUCUGCUCAUGAUCCAGCAUUAUUGACUCCUUUGGAGAUGAAGUUAGCGGAAGCUAAGAAGAUGAGAGAGUCAUAUGCCCGAGUUAAGGGUUUUUCCUCCACGUCGGCAGUUGGUCCUAAGGUGAACUAGCCUAGCUCUGUAGGGGAUGCGAUCUGCUUAAGACGAACUUCCUAUCAAAUCCGUCGUCCUGUGCUGAGUUGGUUGAUCACAUCCAUCAGGCUGGCGAUCUUGGCACUUUCUCAUGUCUUUCCUUGGAAAAACAAAGGGAAGCGUCAUUCCAUCUGAUUCAAAAAGGACUGAUUUUUGCUGCUGAGACUAUUCGGAACUCAUCUGGUGUUGCCCCCUCUUCUGCCCAACUCAGCGAGUUGGAGAAGAAGAAUGCUGAAUUGGCCAGCCAGCUUUCCGCCGAGCAGGCCCGCUACGAGAAGAAGACGUCUGAUUUGAGGGCGAUGAUAUCUAGGCUGAAAAGCUCCCUUACCGAGAAGGAUUCCGAGCUCAACUCUUCCGCUGCUGAUUUGGUAGUCGAAAAGAUGCCUUCUUUCAUCUUGAGCGUAAGAAUGCGGACAUCUCCCUUAGCUAUGACAAACUCCUGGCUAGAUUUCAUGCCUAUCAUAAGUCUGCUAAAGAAUCCAAGUCUGAAGCCACCAUAGAUGCGUACAAAUUGCUACCUGCAUUGCGCAAAUGAGACUGAUUCCUUGUAUGCGAUUGAUGAUGUAGACAUCGAGAUGCUCUGCCCCGACUCACCCCCUAUGGAAGGGGGAAUUGAAGAGCAGGUAACCAGAGAGGAUGAAGCAGAGGUAGACGCAGUAGACAAGAUGAUGGCAGAUGUCAUGGUUCAGGCAGAUGGAGUUGCUGAAGACGUAGCUAGUCAGGUGGAUGCCGAAGAGGCUGCAGCUUAAAAGUCUUCUGCUGGCGUCUCCAAGUAGAUGAAGACUCUUUUUUGUUUCUUUUCAGCUUUUGUAGUUUGCUUUUUUGUUUAGAAUAACUGGUCUUAUUUGACCAUCUUCUUUUUGUUAAACUUGGCCGGUUGGUCUGUUUGUUAUGAAAAUUUCAGUUACAUUUUCCAACUUCAACUUGCAUAUUUGUCUUGUGAACUGCUUGAGUAACCAUCCUAUGUUUUAAUUGCACGUCCUCCUUUAGAGAUUUGUGAGUACCAGGGUCCCCCUUGAAGGACUCCGGGCAUGCACUGCAAAUCCCAUAGGAUGAUUCCCCUUAGGAAGUUGGCGAGCACCAGGAUCCCCCUUGAGAGACUCGUGUGUGUUCUGCACAUCUCUAGGAUGAUUUCCCUUAGGAAGUUGGCGAGCACCAGGAUCCCCCUUGAGAGACUCCGGGUGUGUUCUGCACAUCCCGUAGGAUGAUUCCCCUUAGGAAGUUGGCGAGCAUCAGGGUCCCCCUUGAGAGACUCCGGGUGUAUUCUGCACAUCCCGUAGGAUGCCUUGGUCGUCGCCCUGCGUCUCCCGUAGGACGCUACUUAUGGGCAACUACAUGAUUAUCUCGCCUCCCUUAGGAAACGGAUAGGAACCUAGAUAUUUCCCGCAGGAAGCAUGGAGACCUCCUUUUAAGAAAUUCCUGACGCACCCUGCGUCUCUCUUAGGACGCUUUUUUAGCGGGCUACGUCUCCAAACGGACGCGUUUUGUCAUCACCCUGCGUCUCCCUUAGGACGCUCCUUAUGGGCAACUGUGUGACUAUCCUGCCUCUCUUAGGAAACAGAUAGGAACCUGGAUAUUUCCCGCAGGAAGCAUGGCGACCCCCUUUUAAGAAACUCAUGGCGCACUCUGCGUCUCCCUUAGGACAUUUUUUUAGCGGGCUGCGUCUCCAAACGGACGCUUUUAGUCGUCGCCCUGCGUCUCCCUUAGGACGCUCCUUAUGGGCAACAGUGUGACUAUCCUGCCUCCCUUAGAAAACGGAUAGAAACCUGGAUAUCUCCCUUAGCAAAUUCCUGGCGUACCCUGCGUAUCCCGAAGGACGCUGCUUAUGGGCAAAUAUUGUGUUUCGUGGGCAGAUGAGACAUUUUGGAAUGAGAAACUGAACUUAUAUUGAUAUCAUAAGAUUACAGUCCUUUAUUCAAAAAUGGAAACAACUUGGUACAAAACUUAGAACUUCUAGCAGUCAGGAGGAGGUGCUACGGAUAAUACUUUCGAAGAUGGUGAGCAUUCCUUUGUCAUGGUAUUUCCUUCCCCUCCAUAGUGUCGAGUGUGUAGCUUCCUCUACCCCCAGACCGGCUGAUCAUGUAAGGACCCUCCCAGUUAGGAUUCAUCUUUUUUGACCCUUGCCUCGGUGUAGUAAUGAAAGUCUUUCUUAGCACGAGGUCGCCUGGUUGAAACUGUCUGACCUUAGCUCUUUUGUCGUGGUAAGACUUCAACUGUUGCUGAUAAGAGGCGACCCGGAUAAUGGUCUUCUCACGUUCGCCUUCAAGUAAGUCGAGGUUGAGCCUCAUCUGCUCGGAGUUCUGAUCAUCUGAUGUGGGGUGGUAUGAUCGCUUCUAUUCCAUAGGCGAGGGAGAAUGGGGUUUUACCAGUCGAUCUUCAUUUGGUGGUGCGAUAAGCCCAUAGUACUCCGGGGAGUUCAUCCACCCAUUUUCCUUCUGCGCCUUCCAGCCUUUUCUUCAAGCAGUCCAAUAUGACUUUGUUGGAUGCCUCGACUUGUCCAUUUCCUUGUGGAUACCUCGGGGUGGACAAGUGUUGCUUGAUCUUGUAUUUCGCAAAAAAGGUGGUGAUCUACUUGCCAAUGAACUGUGAGCCAUUAUCUGUAACCAGCGACUGUGGGCAGCCAAACCGGCAUAUGAUGUUUCUCCAGAUGAAUCGCUCCACAUCGGCCUCUUUAGUAGAGGAUAGAGCUUCGGCCUCUUUAGUAGAGGAUAGAGCUUCGGCCUCAAUCCAUUUAGUAAAGUAGUCGGUGGCGAGGAUCAUCAUUUCUUUCUUGGCGGGCGCUGGUGGCAAGGGACCCACUAGGUCGAUGGCCCAUUGCAUAAACGGCCAUGGACUGUUUUGCGGAUGAUAGACUUCGGCAGGCAGGUUAGGGAUCGGCUUGUAUCACUGACAGCGAUCACACUUCUUGACAUAUUCAGCGCAGUCGUGACGCAUGGUAGGCCAGAAGUAUCCUAUGUUUAGAGCUUUCUGGGCGAGUGACCUGCCCCCAGAGUGGUUGCCACACUCGCCGUCGUGAAUUUUACAGAGAACCUCAAGUGUUUGAGGGUACUUUAUGCAGGUGAGAUGAGGGCCGGAGUAUGAUCUGUGGAUGAGCUUGGUACCGUGCAUGUAGUAUCUCGCGGCCUUCUGCUGGACCUUUCUAGCUUCGGACUUGUCCGGUGGCAGGUUUCCAUUCGUCAAAUAGUCGAUGAUGGGGUCUUGCCAACUAGGGUCCUCGUCAAUCUGCAUGGUAUCGAUUAGCUCUAUUUCUUCAAUGCUUGGUCAGUCAAGGUGUUCGACCGGGAUGGAGAGUCUGAACUAGGUAUCUAGCGCUGAUCCUAGGCUUGCCAAUGUGUCUGCAUGAGCGUUCUCUGCCCGGGGCACUUGUUGGAUGGUGAAGGUGGGAAAUGCCUUCAACAGCUCUUGGACUUUGUCAAGGUGCAAGAUCAUCUUUGGGUGCUUUGCCAUGUAUUCACCUGAGGCUUGAUUCGUGAUCAAUUGUGAGUCUGAGUAGAUAGCUAGCUUUUUGAUUGCGAGCUCUUUUGCCAAGCGUAGGCCGGCGAGCAAUGCCUCGUAUUCUGCCUCGUUGUUCGAGGCCGGGAAGCCAAGCAUAAUAGCUUGCUCCAACAGGGUUCCAUUCGGAGUGGUGAUGACGACCCCUGCUCCAGCUCCUCUUUGGUUCGACGUUCCGUCUACGCGCAACUGACACAUGUCUCUGGGUUGGCUAGGUUCUGCGGAGGUCCCGUCUGCUUUUGAACUUUCCCUCUUUUGGUUGACCAACUUCACUUUUUCGGCUUGAUGGGGUGAAUUCUACGAUGAAGUCUGCUAAAGCCUGGGCUUUUAUAGCAGUUUUUGGCCGGUAGAGGAGGUCAUAUUGGCUUAGCUCUAUAGCCCACUUCAUGAGUUGCUGAGAAGCAUCAGGGCUGUGGAGGAUUGAUCUCAAAGGAAAGUCGGUCAUGACGAUGACUCGAUGAGCUUGGUAGUAGGGUCGCAGCUUUCUCGCAGAAACUACAAGAGCCAAAAUAAGUUUCUCCAACUUCGGGUAGCGAGUUUCUGCAUCGAGGAGAGCUUUUGACGUGUAGAAUACCGGAUGUUGGGCCCCCAGCUCUUCUCGAAUGAGAGCUGAACUGAUAGCUGAGUUGGACACUGCCAGCUAUACAAACAAGUUCUCACCAGAGACUGGCUUUGAGAGCAGAGGAGGUGAGUUAAGGCAAGUCUUCAGACUCUGGAAAGCUACUUCGCACUCCUCGUCCCAUUUGUCUCUUUGUCCUUUCUUCAAAGCUUUGAAGAAUGGUCUGCACUUGUCAGUUGAUCUCGAGAGGAAUCGGUUGAGGGCCGCUGCUCUGCCCGUCAGACUUUGUAUUUCCUUCACCGUGGAAGGUGAUUUCAUCUCGAGAAUGGCUUUGAUUUGACGUGGGUGUGCCUCGAUACCUCGUUGCGUGACUAGGUAUCCCAAGAAUCGGCCAGAGGAUACCCCAAACGUGCAUUUACUUGGAUUCAACUUCAUGCAAUAUUGGCGGAGCAAGCUGAAUGACUCAUCAAGAUUUCCAAUGUGAUCUGCACGUUUUGGGGCUUUGACCAGCAUGUCAUCCACGUAGACCUCCAUAGUUUUGCCGAUCUGCUCCUUGAAGAUUUUAUUUACAAGCCUUUGAUAGGUUGCUCCGGCGUUCUUCAGCCCAAAGGGCAUGACCUUGUAGCAGUAGGUCCCUCUCUCGAUGAUGAAAGAAGUUUUCGCCUUGUCAUCCUCGUGCAUCAGGAUUUGGUUAUAGCCGGAGUAGGCGUCCAUGAAGCUGAGCAGCUGAUUGCCCGAAGUGGAAUCCACGAGUUGGUCGAUUCUCGGCAAUGGGAAGUUGUCUUUAAGGCAUGCCUUGUUGAGGUCUGUGUAAUCGACGCAAACUCUUCAUUUACCCUUUUCUUGUUUUGCCACCAAAACAACGUGGCAAGCCAUUCUGAGUAGGAGACCUCUUCGAUGAAGCCGGCAGCUAGGAGUUUGUCAAUCUCAGCUUCGAUGAUAGCGACUCGCUUGGGUGCGAAGUUGCAUCUCUUCUGCGCCAGUGGCUUGCAUGCGGGGUUGAUGUGGAGUCGGUGACAAAUGAUGUUCGGGUCAAUGCCAGGCAUGUCUGAUGGCGACCAUGCGAACAUGUCUUUGUUCCUCUGGAGGAAUGUGGUAAGCUCCACAUUUUCUUCUGGGCUUCAGCGCGAGCCGAUCUGCGCUUUCCUGUCUGGCUGGUCAAGAUCCAAGGGUAUUAACUCGACGUCCUCCUCGGGUUUCCAUCCUUCUUCCGGAAAGACCUCUGGACAGAUUUCCUCAGCUUGGCCCUGACGCUUUGAUUUCUAUAAGAUAGCAAGAUUCGGUUGCUCAACCUCCUCCAGAUCCGCCUGGCUCACAGGGAGAAACUACGCUUGUUUGCCUUUCUUCAGCCCUUGGGCGGAGCAUUUCCUCGCCAUUGCUUGAUCGCUGUUGAUUUGGCCGACACCUCCCGUAGGGAUUGGGUACCGAAUUUUCUGAUGUGUGGCGGAGGUGAUGGCAUUGAUCUUGCCAAUCCAUGGUCUGCCCAGGAUACCGUUGUAAGGUGAGACCUCAUUAAUGACCAUGAAUGUUUGCAAGCUGAUCACCAGUGGGGAGUAAACGUCGAGGUCUAUCGUGCCCACGGUAAUCGUUGUUGCACCAUUAAAACCAGUCAGCAAUCUGACUAACUUGUUGAUCUUUGUCUCCAAGCCCAUCUGUUGGAUGACCGCCAGUUGUAGGAUAUUGGCUGCGCUGCCCUCAUCUGCAUGGAUUCGGUCGACCAUGGCCUGAGCGAUUUGAAUGCUGAUGACAAGUGCGUCGUUAUGUGGCGUGUCGAGGCCGAUCAGAUCUUUCUUUUGGAAGCCGAUCACAGGAUCGUCUUCUGCUAGUGGAGGGUCGAUCGAGACUUGGGAGAUCACAGUGGCCUGUUUGAUCUUCCUCUUCUUUUCUUUGCUGGUCAGCCCAGACUCCUCGAAGUCGGCUAGGAUUGUGUUAAUCCUUAUGACCUUCUGAGGCGGCUCCUUGGCGGUGUCUCGAUCUUCAAUCCGUUGGAUGGCCUGCUUCGCAACGAAUUCAGUGCAGUGGCCUUCUCUCAUGAGUUCUUCAAGAUGCGCUUUCCAAGCGGAGCAGUUGUUCGUAGUGUGCUCGUGCGUUUCAUGGAUGGCAUAGUAUUUGCUAGUGUCCCUCUUGUCCGGAUCUCCCUUCAAAGGUGGUGGUCUUCUUACCCAAGGUUUGUUCUUCACUUGGGCCAAGAUUUGAUGUAUGGGGAUGGUGAACUUGGUGUAGUUCUCUCCUCCCGUAGCCUCCCCUUGUGGGUGCGACCUACGCUUGUCUUUGUUUCGGUUGUUAAAUCCGUCGCCUCUUUGACCUGCCCGCUUAGUUGGCUGAUCUUCCUGCUUUGUAGACUUCUUUGCGGCGAUUCGAUCGUCAUCCCAGAGCGCGUAGCGUUCCGCAGUCUCGUAGACCUCUGCCAGCGUCUGGCUGGGAGUGAUAGUUAGCUCGUGGUACAAGUCGUGCUCAGCUGGAAGGCCUUUCUUGAAAGUGGAGGACGCGAUUCGGUCGUCACAUCCUACAAUGUUUGCCUUUUCUGCCUUGAAUCUCUUGAUGUAACCUCGAAGGGAUUCGUCAGACUUCUUGCGCAGGUUGUACAGGUGGUCAAGGUUCUUCUUGAUUGUCCGGUAAGAGGUGUAUUCUUUGGUGAAGACGUAAGCUAGCUCCUUGAAGCUGCUGAUCGACCUGGAUGGUAGGGUGUGGAACCAGUCUUGGGCUGCUCCUCGCAAGGUUAUCGUAAAUACCUUGCACAUUAGCGCGCCGUCAGCCUGGUGGAGGAUUAUAACACUUUUGAAGUGUUUUAAGUGGCUCUCGGGAUCGGAAUCCCCUUUGAAGUGUAUGAACGAGGGUGUCGAGAAUUGCUUCGGGUGAGCGGCCUGCUCGAUAUCGAGGGUGAAAGGCGUAGAGCUCACCUGGUCCAUCUCCUUACGUAGUGAAUCCUCGAAGUUUCCUCCGGUCUUCAAGUCUCGAAGUCGGUCAUUCACGAGCUUCUCAACGUCUUCUGUGCACAUUGCUGGUCGGUUAUGUUGGCGACCUCCACGAUAUUGACUGACUUCCUCAUUGUCCUCCGAGGGUCGACCUUCUCGCCUGAGCUGCCUAGUUGAAGUGUUGGUGGACUGCGCCUGCGAAAGAUUCUCUAUAGCUUGUCGACGAGAAUUGGUUCUUCGAGAGUGAGUAACGGAGCGUCUUUCCUCAUGGUCCUCAUUGUGAGGGUUAUCCAACUGGCCUCCCUGGGGGCCUAGCCUUUUGAGAGCGCUUCUCUGUGAGUUGACAGCUGAGCGCCUUUCUUCGCGAUCCUCAUUGCGAUGGUUGUUUGGCUGACCUCCUUGGGGGCCUAGCCUUUGAUGUACAUUUCCCUAGGGGCCCAAGCGGGCGCGGACGUUGAGUCGUCUACCGGCGCGUUCGUCCAUCCUUCUCUCCUUGCCCGGUGGUCCAUGGCCAAGGUUCUGAGCAAAGCCUAUUUGGUUGAUGAGCUGCCUCAUUAGAUUGCUUUGGUCGUCCACUCUCUGAGCUAGCUGGUCAACUCUUAGAUUAAGGUCUGCUUGACUUCGUGGAUCGGGAGGAGAGAAGUGUGUGGAGCCCAACUGCACACGGGCUAGGUUUUCAUUGGAGGUGUAUGCAGGAGCGUGCGUUGCGCGUGGAGGCAAUGGAGGGAAUGCUUGGAGUUGCUCCAAGACCGGCCCUAGGUCGGCAGUGGUAACGAGUCCACCUUGAUGGGAAGUUCCGCCAGGUUCGACGGCGAUGGCCGGUGCUGUGGUGAGAGGUGGCGGUGCCACCAUGUCGAUCGCGGGAUCGUGGGUGGAGUGGCUUUGGGUCGUCGCGGAUCUAACCAUCGCGGCGGCUUUGCCUCUUGUGUUCAUGCUUCCAACCAUGGUUGUUUGGAAGGCUUCGGUGGAUUGAAAAAUAGGAGGAACGGAUUCCUUGAGCACGCAUUGAGUAUACCUCGUGCUCUCAAUGAAAGCACCAAUUUGAGGGAGCAAAUUUCCCCACGAGAAUAUUCGCCCAAGAUUCCUUCGUCUUCUCCGCCUCUCUUUCUCCCUGCAAAACAGAUCGGAGUAAAAGACCACACCCGGGGGGUGUUGGCCAAAGGCCCUCCGAUGCCUAAGUUAGGUAGGGUAAUUCAAGGAAAACCGGGUGGCCGGAGCCGUGUGUGGUGGCCGGAGCCUUGUGUAAGAGAGAGAAAGAGAGGAGGUGGCUAGGGUUUUUGAGAAAUAAUUUCUGCAGAGCUUUAGUAAGAAUUUAGGCGUACCUCAACCAUUGUGUGUGGCUAUGCUUUUAUAGUAGUCUCGAAGGCUAGGGUUUCAGAGGAAUAAUUCCGUAGAUGGAAGGGAAUUAUUCCUCCCCUUUUUGGAAUUGAUUUGAUUAAUUAGGGAUUUGAUUAAUUAGGGUAAAUCAAAUCCCUAAUUGUGGUAGGUAUCAAAUCAAAUCCUGAUUCAAUUAGGCAACUCCUCAUUUAAUUGGGGAUCGUGGUAAUUAACCAAAUCAAUUCUCAACCUAAUUAGGUAAUGUUCAAUUUAAUUGGGUAAUUCCCAAUUAAAUUGAGUAAUUCCCAAUUAAAUCGAGUAACUCCCAAUUAGGUUGAUUAAUUCCCAAUUGGGUCAAAUAAUCCCCAAAUGGUAGGAAUUAUUUGACCUAUGGUUUGAUUUAAUUAGGUUCCCACAGGAACCAUGUAAAAAGUUAUAUGGUAAGCAUUUUAAUCAAAUUCUUGUGCAAAUCUACUACCACUUGGGGAUUAAAUAUAUAACAAGAGCUACAAGAAGACAAUACUAUAAAGCAAACCAUAAGACAAGAAAGGAUAAUGAUUUCAAAUAGAUUGUACAUUGCUCCUGGAGAACAAUAAAGAAGUUUACAUAGGUUUAAAAGACAGAAUUUGACUGCCCUUGGGUGGGGGGAUGAUAUUUGGAACAAUGGUUCUAGGGAAUUCAUGAUAUUAUCACUUGUCUGCUUCAUAAAUUUCUAUGUUUCUGCUCAGCCUAGAAGCAGUUUCAGGAUUUGAGAAGGUUUGCUUUCACCACAAGAUGUGAGUUGAUUCCAUGGAUGAGCAGUGGUAGCCUCUUCUUCAUCCCAACUCAGUGAGUUCUGAAAUGAGGAUGCUUUGGAUAUAAUCAUAUCCAAAUUCUUUCAUCUUGGCUCAGUGAGCUCUGAAAUGAGGAUGGUUCGGAUAGAUUGGAUGACCGAUUCGUAUACACUCACACACUCAAGCGGGAAGUGAGAUCAAGGAAGGUGUUUUCACUGCAGGGGAUUGUGAUACCUCCCAUGGGAUGAUCAUAUCCGAAUUCUUCUUCAGCUUGACUCAGCAAAUCCAGGAAUAAAGGCUCAUUCAAAUAUGAUAUCGGAAUCACAAACCGCUUCUUCUGGCUCUCCCCAACAUAGACUGCAAGGUAGCCUUUUGGGAUAUCUAAAGUCUUUGAAUCUGCUGUCUGGCUUGAACUAGAUAGAGAUCGAAUGAGACUUCUCUUUGCAUUAACAAUUGCAGGCAACCGGAAACCCAUGAUCUUAUAUAUUCUCAAAGGACAAAAGAAGAGAGGGAAUUCAAAGGACUUGGAUUUGGAAAGCAGAGAAAGCUUUGGUGCUUGAGAAGGUGAAGACUUGAGUUGCUCAUGAUGAACUUGGUCAUGUGUAUAUAUAGAUCAAGGGUAUCCAGAAAAUCAACAGCUACAUGAAAUUAUUGGUCUGAGAUGGGCUCCAAUGAGGGACACUUGAUUGUGAGAAAUCACAUGGGCUUGUCGUCCUUCUCACGCAACACAUCCUCGAAAGAUUUCUCACGGAACUCUUCCCUACCUCCUCUAGGUAACAGACAACAAAAGGACCACUAGAGGUGAUUCAAUCCAAAAGACUUAUGUCUGUUAGGUAAGUAGCAUUUAUGCUUGAGACAUGCACUUCUCUUUGUUCACACUAAAUCAACUGACCACAUAAUUGGACUAUUAAACUACAAAGUUUCUUGAAUAGGUCUGCUAAUGAAUUGCCCUCUCACUUCAUCAAAAGACCAACAACACUGCAUAUGUUGUGGUCCUACCCAACACUAAUACAAUUGUGUUGUGUGGUGCUAAAUAGCUUGCUUGGGAGCAGCAAGGCACCCUACAUGUGGCUUUGUAGUUACGACUCUGAUCUUCAGUCUCAGCAAACAAAGGAGGUAUUUAUUUCAUUUUGUUAGGCCAAUCUGGACUUAACCAGAAAACACUAUUGAUUUAAAUAGUUGACAUUACUUGAUCAAGAAAACUGAAGUUAAUAAAUUGAACUUAAGCUACUCGGUCUAAACUCAAUUUUUAAAAAACCAUUUUCCAUUACAACUCUUGGUUUAACAAAACCAUUGCCAGUCUUGUUUUAGGCAAGUUCGGCGAAAAGCCUACUAGAGAAAUCUAGAAAAUUCUAGAGAGAAGGAGAAGCUAGGUUGAUAAUCUCUUCUUGCCUUUGCUUAUGGCAACAACUGAAGAAGCCAUGUAAACUUGGCUUGCACUCUCUAGCAUAGGGAAAGUCGUGCAUAUAUAUUGUGCCAUUUUUUUAUGAAAGAAACUUAGUUGUUCGGCUCAGUGUCUCUCUAUAUUAACUCAUGAUGACUCUCCUCCUUAUUAUUCUUUCAGUCCAUUGAGAGAUGUUAAGCAUACUGUGCUUAAUAUAUUAUUAAAUUAUCAGAUACAGUCAUUUUGGCCCCAUGGAUAAAGGAAGUACAAAGUAAACCAUUAUACUUUCAUUUUCUGAAAAAUAUGCUGUCAUUGAUGAUUUUAUUUUAUGACAGAGCUACAAGUACAAUGAAAAAUAAGACAAGAAAGUGGAUCAGGAUUUAAAUUUGCAUUCCAAUAUAUUUUCCUGGAGAGUAACAAAGGUUACACAUCAGAAGAUCAUAGCAUCCAACCCAAAUGUGGAGAGGCCCAAGAUCUUUUAUACUACAAUGCACGUCUUUAAGUUCCGUAUGUACUCUCAAGAACAAUAGUUCAAAAUUUCAAUCAUGAUUUUGGACUAAAGUUUUUCAACGUCCAUAGUAUCUUCGUUUGUCGGAUUCAUGAACUUUUUAACUUUAUGCUCAGAUCACAAGCAGCUUCAGGCUUACAGAUUGCUUCCUCUCAGCACAAGAUGUAAGUCGACUCAGUGGACGAUCAAGAAUAGCCUCUUUCUCAUCAUUACUCAGUGAGUUCUGGAAUGAGGAUGCUUAUACAUGAAUGAAUUUGGAUCAUAGUUUCUUUUCUUUGGUGUGCACUCAUACACUUAAGCGGGAAGUGAGAUGAAGGAAGGUGUCUUCACUGCAGGGGAUUGUGAUACCACCCAUGGGAUGAUCCUAUCCAAAUUCUUCUUCAGCUUGACUCAGCAAAUCCCGGAACAAAGGCUCAUUCAAAUAUGAUAUUGGAAUCAAAAACCGUUUCUUUUGGCUCUUCCCAACAUCGACUGCAAAAUAGCCUUUUGGGAUAUCUAAGGUCUUUGAAUCAUCUGUCUGACUUGAACUAGAUAGAGAUCGAAUGAGACUUCUCUUGGCGUUAACAAUUCCAGGCAACCGGAAACCCAUGAUUUAGUAUUCUCAAGAGGACAAGACAAGAGGAAAAAGAUUGGCAAGGAAUUGGAAAAAACAGAGAGAGCUUUGAUGCGUGGGAAGGAUAGGACUUGAGUAGCUCAUGAUGAACCGAUCAUAGUAUAUAUAUAGCUGAAAGGUAUGCAAAAAAAUCAUCAGGUACAUGGAAUGAUUUGUACCGAAAAGGAACUGAGAGGAGAAGCAAUGAGGACCACUAGCUGUACGAUAGUCAAAGUUUACACUAGCUGUUAUCAUUCUGAGUUUAUCUCUUUCUCAGAUUAGGAAGAGGUACUCUUCUAGAGCAUUUAGCUAGAGAGAAUGAAUAGGAGAAUAUGAAAAAUGCACUGUUCUAUUGAUUUCUGCAAAACUGCAGCUUACAAAGUGUGACUGCUAGGAGAGAAAUGUGAUUCUCUUCUAACAGAAUUACAGCUGUCAUCCUAUUAGAUUCUUACACCUGUCAUAGCAAAUCUAAGCUAGAGAAUCCACCUAGACUAUGAUCUAAUGGCUCUCCUUACAUCAUUUAAAUAAGCUGACCAAAAACAGAACAAAUAGAGAAUAGCUUCAGCUCUAAGAAAUCUGCUGCAGGAUUAUAUUUCAACACUCCCUUCUAAUCCUUUAGCUGAUUUCACACCAAGCAAGCUUCUCAGCCUCACAAACCGAUCCUUAGGUAGAGCUUUAGUCAAGAUGUCUGCUAUCUGAUCUUCUGUUUUGCAGUAUAUCAGUUCAAUUUCUUUUGCUUGAAUGGCUUCUCUGAUAAAAUGAAAUUUCCUGCUGAUGUGUCUUGUCUUUUGGUGAUGGACUGGAUUCCUUGCCAUUGCAAUUGCUGAGGUGUUAUCACAUAGAAUCUGAGUCCCUUCUAUCUGUUCUUCACCAAAAUCUUCAAGCACAAAUCUCAGCCACUUAGCUUGUGAAGUUGCUUCUGCAGCACUCACAUAUUCAGCUUCGGCUGUAGAUAGAGCAACUGUGUUUUGCUUGAUGGAAGCCCAAGAGAACAUGCCUGAGCCUAGUGUGAAGGCAUAUCCUGAGGUGCUCCUCAUAUCAUCUUACUCCCAGCCCAGUCACUGUCACAGUACCCAAUUAGAGUAGCUGUCUUCCCUUUUGCAAACUCAAUUCCAAAAUCCAAUGUGCCUUGAAUGUAUCUCAGCACCCUUUUAGCAGUUCCCAUGUGUUUCUUUGAGGGAUUGUGCAUAAAUCUAGCAAGCAAGCUAGAUGCAAACAUGACAUCUGGUCUUGUGGCAGUCAGAUAAAGGAGACUUCCUACAAUCUGUCUGAAUUCACUUUCAUCUGCUGCUUCACUCCCAUCUUCUCUACACAAUUUCUCAUUCACCACUAAUGGAAUUGCCACUGACUUGCAAUCUCUCAUUCCAAACUUCUCAAGAAUUUUCAUGGCAUAUUUCUUUUGAUGAAUGAAAAUAUGCUUGUCAGUUUGUUCCACUCCCAUGCCAAGAAAAUGAUGCAACAGACCCAAGUCUGUCAUCUCAUAGUGUUGCAUCAUAUCUUGUUUAAAUUCUUCAAGCAUUUUAGGACAGCUUCCAGUGUAUAUAAUGUCAUCUACAUAGAGGGAGACAAUGAUAAUACCUGAGGUGUCACUAGUUUUGAUAUAGAGAGUAGCUUCACUUAAGCUUUUCUUGAAACCUGCAGUGUUGAAAUAGGCAUCUAUUUCAUCAUACCAGGCCCUUGGGGCUUGCUUCAGUCCAUAUAGAGCCUUGUUCAACCUGAACACCUUGGUUUCCUUGCUCUCUUGAACAUAUCCUUGAGGUUGUUCAACAUAAACUUCCUCCUUUAGAAUGCCAUUGAGAAAAGCAGACUUCACAUCCAAUUGAAAUAAGUUCCAUUCCUUUUGUGCUGCAAGGGCUAUCAAAGUUCUGAUGGUGUCAAGUCUUGCCACGGGGGCAAAUGUCUCAUUAUAGUCGAUUCCAGGCUUCUGUGAGUAGCCUUUAGCCGCAAGCCUAGCUUUAUUCUUCUGCACAGUACCAUCUAGGUUCAGUUUGACCUUGUAGACCCACUUAACACCAAUUACUGGUUUGUUAGAUGGCCUGUCAACUAAUUUCCAAGUAUUGUUCUUCUCAAUCAUCUCCAAUUCAGCCUCCAUUGCACAUCUCCAUGAUUCAUCCAAAUCUGCUUCUUCAAAGCUGUCAGGUUCUACAAUGCACAUAUUGCAUUGUGCCAUGAUGUCAUUAAUACUCCUCCACUUGUGAGGUGUGUGAUCAAACCUUUGAGUCUCAUCAAGCAUUUCUUCCCCUUGAGGUGCAAUUUCUUCUUCCAUCUACAUUUGAGUAUCCAAGAACUGAGAGUGAUCAUCUAAUACCCUCUGUUCAGUUUCUGCAGUAUCUUGAUUUCCAUCUGGCAUAGGUAUUCCCACAUCUGCAUUGCUAGGAUUCUCCCAUUUCCAUGAGGCUUCUUCAUCAAAAUAGACAUCCCUAGACAAGAUAAUCUUUCUUGUCUUAGGAUCAUACAGUCUAUAGCCUUUUUCACACAAUCCAUAGCCCACAAAAAUGCAUUUGUGACUGUUUUCUUCCAACUUGUGUCUCAAAACAGAAGGAAUAAGCACAUAACAUAGGCAUCCAAACACUUUCAAGUGUGCAAUACCUGGCUUUCUUCCUGUGUAGGCCUCAAAUGGUGUCAUUUUCUCAAGAGAUUUAGAAGGACAUCUGUUGAGAAGGUAGACUGCUGUAUGAACAGCUUCUGCCCAAAACUCAUAAGGAAGAUUCUUUUCAUGUAGCAUAGACUUUGCCAUCUCAAUUACUGUCCUGUUCUUCCUCUCAGCAACUCCAUUUUGCUGAGGAGAAUAUGCCACUGUCAGCUGCCUUUGUAUUCCAGCCUCACUGCAGUAUGCAAGGAAUUCAUUUGACAUGAAUUCUCCACCUCUAUCACUUCUAAGUGACUUCACUUUGUGUCCACUCUGCAAUUCUGUCAUUGCUUUGAACUUCUUGAAACAUUCAAAAGCAUUAGAUUUAUUUCUGAGAAAAUAAACCCAAGCCAUUCUUGUAUGGUCAUCAAUGAAUAAUAGGAAAUAUCUGUUUUCUGACAUUGAUGCAGUCUGCAUUGGACCACAGAUGUCAGUGUGAACUAAUUCUAGUGGAGACUGAGCUCUCCAAGUAGAUUUUGCAGGAAAUGAGUCUCUAUGCUGCUUUCCCAACUUGCAGCCUUCACACACUGCUAAGUCCUUCUCCAGACUAGGCAGUCCAUGAACCAUGUCUUGAUUUGCUAGCAUCUUGAUGCUUUGAUCAUUAAGAUGACCCAGCCUUUUAUGCCAAGUCUGCAAACUGUGAGUCACACUUGCUCUCAGCACCAACUGAGUAGCAGGUACCAUUGUGAGAGAGAAACUGUCACACCCCGGACCGGCUCCGCCGUAGCACGAUAUUGUCCGCUUUGGGCCCCCCUCUCUGCCCUCACGGUUUUGUUUUUGGGAGCUCACGAAGCAACUUCCCAGGGUGGUCACCCAUCCUGGGAUUGCUCCAGCCUCCCACUCGCUUAACUUUGGAGUUCUUACAACUCUGAAGCCAGUGAGCUCCCAAAAGGCCUCGUGCUACGGCGGAGCCGGUCCGGGGUGUGACAAUUUGGUAUCAGAGCCACUCUGCCGUGUGGUGCGAGUGUGCCGACGAGGACGUCGGGCCCUUAAGGGGGGUGGAUUGUAAGAUCCCACAUCAAACCAACGGAGAGGGGGGUGAUGUGCCUUAUAUGGCACACCCGCAUCCAUCUAGCACGAGGCCUUUUGGGAGCUCACUGGCUUCGGAGUGGUAGGAACUCCGAAGUUAAGCGAGUUGGAGGCUAGAGCAAUCCUAGGAUGGGUGACCCACUGGGAAGUUGCUCGUGAGUUCCCAGAAACAAAACCGUGAGGGCCAGAGAGGGGGGGCCCAAAGCGGACAAUAUCGUGCUACGGCGGAGCCGAUCUCGGGAUGUGACAGAAACACCUAUUGCUAGUCAUUGGAACCUUAGCUAUAGGGUUUUGCAGUGACCAAUCAUCAAAAAUUGUCACCAUUCCCUUUCCAAAUACUAAACAAUACCCAUGUUCCAUCAUCUGACCAACACUUAGCAAGUUCUCUUCUAAACCAGGCACCAACAUCACUUCUUGAAUGUGUUUUCUGCCUGAUUUGGUUUCUAUCACAAGAGUACCUUUUCCUGCAACUUGAACUGUCUCUCCAGUCCCCAUUUUCACCUUGGAAGUUACAUUCCUUCGAAUGUCUAUCAGUAGCCUUUCAUCUCCAAUCAUAUGGUUGCUACAGCCACUGUCCACAUACCAAGAGUUGCUCAUUUUCACAUCUGUCACAGCAUUGCAUGCAUAAAACAAUGUUCCAGUUUCUUCAACCUGAUUGGCAUAGUUCACCUUUUGCACAGAUUGAUUGUCAUGACAAUUUCUAACCAUGUGACCAAACUUUCCACAUCCUCUGCAUUUUGGUUUUCCUUCAAACCAGCACUUGCCAUAGUGCAGUUUUUCACAGUGCUUGCAGGGUGUUUUAGUUCCAUCAUUUGAUGCAUUUGGUUUGGUAUUUGAAUUGGACUUGUUAUUCCAAUUCUUCCUAUUUUCCUUCCAGUUCUUCUGAGACUUGUUACAUCCAGAAGAACUUCCAUUCUUAGAGCUUUUACUCUCAAUGUUCAGACUAGUGAAAGCCUUUUCUGUUGAAUUUUCAUUGUGCCUGUCUAAUCUGAGCUCAAAGUUCUUGAGAGAUGCAACCACUUCUUGAAUUUCAAGAGUGUCAAGAUCCUUUGAAUGCUCAAUCACAGAACAUAUAGAAUCAUAAGAUCUAGGCAAACUAAUAAGCAAUUUCUGCACAACUCUUUCUCUAGGUAACUCUUCACCAUAAUUCUUCAUUUGAUUUAUCAGAUCAAACAGUUUAGCAGCAUAAACAGAAAAUGAUUCACUAUCCUUCAUACGAGUGUAUUCAAACUCUCUACGUAAGCCUUGUAGUUUCACACUUCUUACCUGUUUAUCACCUCUAAACUCCUGCUUCAGGAUAUCCCAUGCACCUUUUGAGGUUUCUUCAUUCACUAUUCUGGGAAAAAUUUGGUCUGAGACUGCACCUUGGAUCAGUCCAAGUGCACGAGCAUCUUUCAUCAAGGUCUCAGCUGAUACAGAUUUCUCUUCUUCAGCAGCUUUAGAUCCCUCUUCCUUUCCUUCUUCCUUCGUUGGAUCUGAAGCAUCAAAGCCAUUUUCAACUAAAUCCCACAGUCCAUGAGAUUUCAGAAUGGUCUUCAAUCGAAUGCUCCAAAACUUAUAGUUUUCUCCAUUGAAUACUGGUGUACGAAGCUCAGAAGAGCUUGAUCCUGCCAUAUUAGACAUCAGACGCAGCUAGACAAGCUUCGUGAAGUUUUGAGUGAGCUCAAUCGUCAGCUCAGCCAAGCACCAGCUCCUUCUUCACAGAUUCACGCCCAAUAAACAAUCAAAACCUGGCUCUGAGGCCAUGUUAUCAUUCUGAGUUUAUCUCUUUCUCAGAUUAGGAAGAGGUACUCUUCUAGAGCAUUUAGCUAGAGAGAAUGAAUAGGAGAAUAUGAAAAAUGCACUGUUCUAUUGAUUUCUGCAAAACUGCAGCUUACAAAGUGUGACUGCUAGCACUACUACAAAAAGUGAAAAAGACGACCAGAAAACAACGACGGUCUAAGUGAAAACCGUCGUGGUUUUUAAAAAGACGACGGUUCUAAAAACACCGUCGUGUAAUACAACCUUAGACAACUAAAAAAUGGAGAUUCAAAUGGCUGUUCAAAAACAACGACGUACAUAAUUAAACAACCGACGUCUAUUUGAAACAGAUUUCCGCAGUGUAAAAUCAAUGCCAACAAAGAACAGCAGAAGUUAUGAAUCGACCGACGUAGAAAGUAAAGACGACGAUUUCAAUAAAAACCGCCAUUUUUACUCAUAAAAUAACACGACGAGGUUUUCGUAUAAGACGCCGUAUAAUUACAAACAAAUCCAUGGCUUUAAAAUACAAAAUAUCGCCGUAUUAAAUUAAUGUACAACGACGGAAAAUAUAAAUAUAUGGACGUCAUUCUCGUAUAGUUCUACGACGUUAUCUUUAAAUCGUACAAUAAAAUUUAACAUCGUAUUUAUUCAUUUUAUACGUCGUACAUGUCGUCUUAAUAAGAAUUUUUGUUAACAAUUUUUUUCUUUGAUUUUCUUAUCCUACGUCGGUAGAUCUACUUAAUGACAAGAAUUGAAAUAACCACGACGGUUUAUAUAGAAAACCGCCAACAUAAUCAGAUUUGUCUGAGAUCCCAAGGGUUACGAAAUCUUACCAGAUGGAACUCUGUUCCACAUCAUAAUCUUAACAGAUGACACUGAUUUGCAUUCAGAGAGACAAUUUUUUGGAAGUUGAUGAUGUGUGUGCGUUUGUGUAUCUACAAAUAUUAUACCUAACGUCGUUGCAAAUUUGCAAUCAGAGAGACAAUUUUCAACGACGGUUAUAUUAUACCUAACGACGUUUAAAAAACAAAUCAACGUCGCUAAACAAAUAUAUUAUGUCGUCUUAGUCUUACUUAAGACGACGAAAAACGACGACAGUAAUAAAAAACAGUCGUUGUUUUUAUAUUCUUAUUUUAUUUAAAUCUGUCCUCCAAAAAAGAAACUUUACAUAUUCCAGAACAUUAAUUUCCUUCAUUUUAAAUUUCCCCCGGAAAAAAAAACUCUAUUUAUAACGCACUGUAAUUGAAAAAUAAACUGAAAGGUCACGGGAAAAAAAAUUCUAUUCAUAAUUUAAAAAUUCAAAUCCACGUCGGUUAUAUUAAACAUAACGACGUUAAAUGAAAAGAUUCCACGUCGCAAAACAAAUAUUGCGUCGUGUUAGUUAAAAACGACGGCAUAACAAAAAACCGUCGUUGUUUCAAACUGAAUUAAUUUAUUCGGGAAAGCAAAAUCUAUUUAUAAUUUCCUCGGGUUAGUAAUAUUGCGUCGUGUUAGUUUACAAAUUCAAGAACAUUAAUUUCCCUCAUUUUAAAUUUCCUCGGGAAAGAAAAAUCUAUUUAUCACGCUUUGUAAUUGAAAACUAAAACUGAAAGAAUUCGGGAAAAAAAACUCUAUUUAUAAUUUAAAAAUAAAAUCCACGUCGGUUGUAGUACACUUAACGACGUUUAACAAAAUAAUCUACGUCGGUAAUUAUAAAUCUACCGCCAUCUUACCUUAAUAUAGACGACGAGAAAAGACGACGGUAGAACAGAAAACCGCCGUUGUUUCAGUUUCUUUAACAGUUUGGUCCUUUAUCUUUCUGCAGGACUUGUAUAGUUCAAAGCAUUGACAAUGUCUUCAUCAUAUCUCCCAGCAACUACUGAUUCGAUUGCUCAUGCUUUAGAGGCCAUCUGAAGCCAUUUCUAUUCUUUAUCGCAUUCUUGAAACCCAUCUUCUUCUUCUGAAGCUCUACGGAUAAAGGAAGAGGCUAUCACAAAUCUGACGGAUCUUCUUAGCCAAGAAAAUCAAGCAGAUUUCCCUGAGAAGCGAACUUUCCUUCGACAGCGAGUGGAGGCCAGGCUUGCAUCUCUUUUGAUGGAAAGCAAGGAGUAUUCAGAAGCACUAAGUGUCCUAUCAGGCUUGAUCAAGGAAGUGAGAAGGCUAGUUGACAAGCUUCUUCUUGUGGACAUAUAUUUGAUGCGAGUAAGCUCAAUUUCUCUUUGAGAAAGACAUCCAAAUUAUUGUCUUUGAGACGUGAGAGACUGAGAGAGGAAGAACUUGGAACCGUAAAUGUAAACCGAAAAUGAAUGAAAGCGACAAAUUUAUAGAAUAAAUUUUUAAAACCAACGGCGGUCCUUACAAAAAAACCGCCGUUUAAAUUGUAAAAUCAACGUCGGUAUGAUCGACGUAUAUUACAGAAAUCCACGUCGGUACAUUAAUAAAAACGACGUGUUAAAUAAUCUACCAUGACGCGAGUUAUUACUUAUGUACUUUAAUUUUUGAGUUUACUACGAUGGUACCUACAACACUACUGUCGUAUUUAUUUACCACGUCCGAAGUUAAAUGUACCGUCGUAUUUUGUAAUUUAUACGUCGUAGUUAUAUAUAACCGCCAUAUUAUUUUUUUGAAAUGGUUUUAUAUGUAAGCAACUUUUCGUCUACCUGACAUACACAUGCGCUGUUUCCAAACCCGAUUAAAAAUUUCAAUCUCCCAGAGAAAACUUUUAGACUUUUUUCCUUGUCAGAGCACUGUCAGAGUAUCUCAUCGUCUUCCUCUCGUCUUCUUCGUCGUCUCUGAACUUAAACAUAAUCUUCCUCUUGCUUUCAUUAUACGCAAAAGGUAAGCUUUCAUUUUCACUAUUUUGGUUGCUGUUUUGCAUGCUCAUACGUUUUUUGUUUGAAAAAUCUUUUUACCUUUUUUCUGGCCAAAAUCAUUUUACUUCUUUCCAAGUUCGAUAAAAUAUACAGACAAAGAGGGAAAGUUUCCAACUUUGAAGACAACUACCUCAACUAAAUAAGACGACGGUAGCUUCUUAUUUACGUGGUUAAAUAUGUAGACCACGACGGUUCGUCAGUCGUUCUAGCGUCGUCUGAAAAUUGACAAAGUUGUUUUUAAAAUUAUAGUCUUUUUUUUAUUUGCUUGUUUAAUUGCAGGUUUGAUUUCUCUGAACAAUGGUUUUUGUUUUUCCCUAAUUUGAUAAAAUAUAAAGAAAAAGAAAGUAGGGUUGGUAUCUAAUAUAGACGACAGUAUCUUAUUGUUUUACGUCGUGUGAAUGUUAAUACCACGACGUCAUAUUAAAAUACCGUCGUCUAUAUAAGAUUCCAAAACUUUCUUUCUUGGCCUUGUAUUUUAUCAAAUUAGAAAACAAAAACCAUGGUUCAGAAAAAUCAAAUCUGCAAUCAAACAUUCACAGAGAAAGAAAGAAGGGUUUUGGAUCCUUAUAUAGACGACGGUAUAUUACUACUGACGUCGUGUAAACAUCAAUACCACGACGUUAUAUAAAUAUUUCGUCGUUUAUAGUUAAUUAUCACGUCGUUUAUAGUUAAUUAUUUCGUUGUUGUUUAAUUACCUUGGUUUUAAACAUUUAUUACGUCUGAGAUUAUUUCAUUGCGUCGUUUAAAAUCAUAUCAUACGUCGUAUUUUAUUAAUAACCGUCGUUUGUGUUCUUAAUCUUUUCCUGAAAUAUUUUCACUUGCAGUUUUGUCUGUAAAAAUGGUUUCUCACCAAGACCAAAGUAAGGAUUCUGGCUCCAAGAAAAAUGGAGGUAAGGAGCUUGGAAUGGUACCUCCUCAAGUGAAGCCUUCGAAGAAGAUGAAGUUUGCUCCAUCAUCUGCUGAGACAGAACCAACCAGCACGACAACAAUCUCUGAUGAUUCAAAGUCUGGUCGAGGUAUGAGCACAAUGCCUCGUGUUGUGAAGAGAAAACUUCAGAAACUGAGGCCAAUUGUUGAGUACAAUAAAAGGGGGAAAGGAAUUGGCCAAGCACAUAGUGAGAUGCAGUCCUACAUUGGUGUGUUGGCACGCUCCAGAGUUCCACUUGUGGACAUGAAAUGGGCUCAAAUCCCCAAGGAUAUAAAGGAGCAGAUUUGGGAAGCAGUUGACAUUGCUUUUGUGGUAGGUCAAGGGGGCAAGAGCUCUGUGUUAGCUUCUGCUGUCAAGAAAUAGAAGGAUUUCAAGUCUACACUAACGAGGCAUUAUAUCCUUCCAUACACCAAUGACAGGGAGAGAUUAAGCCAACCCCCUGAAACAUAUAAAUUCAUAGAGAAAGCACAAUGGGAUGCCUUUGUAGCUUCAAGGUUAUCCAAAGAUUUUGAGUCUGUGCAUUCUCAACAUGCACAGAUUAGGGAGAAACUUGAGUACAAUCAUCGAUUGUCUCGAAAAGGAUAUGCUGGUUUGGAGGAUCAAUUGGAGGAAACCAUGCCUGGGGUAGAAAUUGGUCGAUCUACCUUAUGGAAGAGAGCUAGACAGGACAAACAUGGUAACAUCCCGGAUCCAAAGGUGGCAGAGAAAGCAAAAUUAAUUGUAAGCCUACUCACUCUGUUUUAAAUUUUUAUUCAACUGUGAAUAAUUCUUAUUACGUCUUAUGUUAUAUUUUGCGUCGUGUGAAUGAUAUUACCACGUCGAAAUUUUUUAAACAACGUCGUUAAAGGUCUAAAUAGGAAUCACUACUCUGUUUUCUGUAAUUAUAGCAUAAGAUGUCGGUGGUUCAUUUUCGCGUCGUUUGUAUUGAAUUACUACGUCGAAAUGUUUUAAACAAGGUCGUUAAAGGUGUGAAUAUUGAAUCAUCCCUCUGUUAUCUGUAAAUAAAGCAUAAGACGUCGGAGGUUUAUUCAUUUCGUCGUUUUAAAAACUAACCACGUCGGUAUAACUACCGUCGUGAUAAAUUAUAAUAACGUCGAUUUAUAUGUUAUUGCGUCGUGUGAAAUUAUAUAAUACGUCGUUUGUAUAUAAAUAACCGUCGUGUGUUUUUGUUCUUACUUUUUUAUAUAUCUUUGUUUUAGGAUGAAUUGCAAAAACAAGUCUCGGAAGGCAAAGUCACUGUUUCUGGCAGCAAUGAUGUGCUGACCAUGGCUUUGGGCCCCGAGCAUCCAGGCAGAGUGAGAGGAGUAGGUGCUGGGAUCUCACCAAGGCAAUAUUUCAAUUUACCCAAACCACAGAGAGUGAGCUUUGACGACCGUUUGAAUGACAGUUUAAGAGUUCUCCUUCAAGAAGAGACUAAAAAGAUGGAAGCUAAGGCAAGGGAAGAGGCUUUAAGGAUGGAGGCUAGAACGAAACAAUUGGUAGAGGCUGAGAGGGAGCAUUUCCUGAGUCAGCUUUCCCAAUUAAUUCCCAAUUUUGAUCCAAGCAUGCUUAAACCCAGAAUUAGCCAAAGUCCCAAAAAUCCAAUGUCUGACAAAACAAGCUGCUCUGGAGGUGAUGUGAGAUCCCAGCAUUUUGAGGAUGAUACUGCCAAAAAUGGGAAACAUCAGGAAGAAAAGGUAACAUAUCUGAACUUUGAAUUCUCUGUUUUUUUAAAAACCAUUAGACGUCGUUAUUAUUAAUAAAACCGUCGUUUGAAAUACAUACCACGACGAUUUUAAAAAUAAGUCGUCGUUUGUAUUUCAAUACCACGUCGUAUUUAGUUUACUUGUUUUACACGCCAUUAAACGUCGUUAUUUUUAAAACUUUGUGGUUUUUAGACGACGGAGUUAGUCAUUCCCGCCGUAAUAGAUGAAGAGAAGAGAGAAGAAAAACAAGAUGAAAAGGAGAAAGAAGAUGACGACCAGGUAUGUUCACAUAACUUUGCCUUUUUUAUUUGUUUUUCAAAAUUCCAGACGUCGAUAUUUUUCUUUAAACCGUCGUUUGUUUACAACUUAGACGGCGGAAUUUUUUUCUAAGACGUAAUAAAUUAUUCACCACGACGGUUUCUUCACCGUCGUUUAAAUUCUUUUCAGACGACGUUGUAUUCCUUAAACCGUCGUUUUUAUUGAAUUACCACGUCAUUUUUUUUAUUUCUUUAAACAGGUUAUUCAAGGUGUUGAUUAUUCAAAUAUGGAGGCGCCAUCUUCUUUAAAAUCCCUUUGUCGUUAUGUGGAAACGACACUCGUGCCUCAGGAUAAGACCCUGCACUUUACAAUUGAUAAGGAGGUGUUUGGUCUAGAGCGCGAUACCUUCCUCCUGCCUGAAGAUAUUACACAAUUUGCAGGCAUGGAAGAAAUAGGAGCCACUGUCAUUGCUGUAUAUAUGAGGUUUGUCAUUCUAAAAUAAUACGUCGUUGGUUUAUUUAUUGCGUCGUCUUAACCAACUAACCGCGUCGUUAGUAUGUACCGUCGUGAUAAAUAUAUUAUAACGUCGUUGUCUAUUUCAGUACGUCGUGUGAAAUUUUAUAAUACGUCGUUUUGUUAUACAUAACCGUCGUGUGUUUUAUGUAUAUAUGAGGUUUGUCAUUCUAAAAUAAUACGUCGUUGGUUUAUUUAUUGCGUCGUCUUAACUAACUAACCACGUCGGUAGUAUGUACCGUCGUGAUAAAUAUAUUAUAACGUCGUUGUCUAUUCCAGUACGUCGUGUGAAAUUUUAUAAUACGUCGUUUUGUUAUACAUAACCGUCGUGUGUUUUUUUGUGCUGACUUGUUUAUAUUAUUUUAUAUAUCUAGGUACUUACACGAUGUUUUGAAACGAGCAAAUAUGUGCUCCAUGGUUGGCUUUAUCGACCCUGCUACAGUUAGUGCCAGCUCUGGCACAAUAGCUGACAGAUCACGCCUACUAGCAGCUCGACUUCAGAGGACUGACGGUGAACAGAUUUUCCUGAUGCCUUACAAUCCAGGGUUAGUCUCCUUAACAGGAUUUUGAUUUUAUGAUUUUCAAUAAAUGACAGCGUAUAAACUAACCACGUCGGUGUUUUAUUUUAUUGAGUCGUUGCAAAACUACUAACCACGUCGGUAGUUAUUUAUCGUCGUGAUAAAUUUAUAAUGUCGUCGAUUGCUUCUUUAUUUCGUCGUGUGAAAUAUUAUAAUACGUCGUUUUUGUAAAUAACCGUCGUUUUAUAUUAAUUUUGUGCAGCCGUCAUUGGAUCUUGCUGAUUGUAAGAGCAAAGAGAGAAACCGUCUAUUUUCUGGAUUCUCUGCCAGGAAAUCGUGUGGUCGAUGAAGAGGCCAAAAACAUUGUGAACAGUGCUAUAAAAAUUUAUAACUCUCACAUAGCUAGACCAGGCCGUAAGGCAGUCAUUUGGAAAACUCUGUCAGGCACACCAAAGCAACCCAGCAGUGUCGAAUGCGGGUAUUAUGUGAUGCACUUCAUGAGGGACAUCAUCAUGGAUCCUUCCUUGGGGUUUGAGAAGAAGGUAAGAAGAAAUUACCUUCAUACAUUUUACGUCGUUUUAUGUAUUAUCAACGACGGUCAUGUAAAAUUACCGUCGUUGAAUAGAUAGUACGUCGGUUAUGAAAAAUAUCGUCGUCUGUGAUUUAAUUUCUUUUUAUUUAUAAACCCUAAUAGUCAUUGUUUAUGUAGUAUGCCAAGGGAAAACAGGAAGCGCCAUACCCCCAAGAAGCAAUUGAUGAAGUCUGGAAUGAAUGUGCAGAGUUUGUUUGCCUUCACCUGGAAUAGGGGAAUUAUUGAACGCUUGAUAUUUAUGUAUAAUGUACAAAUUUUGUCUAUAAUAUAUAAUGUAAAAAUUUGUUGAGGUUUUCUUAAAUUAAAAAAAAAAACAAACAUACAAAUUGCGUAAACGACGUGUAAUACUUUUCCAACGACGUAAUAAAGUCAAAAGCCGUCGUUUUUUGUUGUUUCGUUUUAAACAAAUCCGACGUAAAAGGAUAUUUAGACGACGUUCUUUGAACAAUUGAGUCGUUUAUGGUUUACAACGUCUUCAAUUUCUUAAGGGUUCAGGGUAGUACUUUGUAACGACAGCGGUUAAGUCGUGGAAUAUAUAUUUUAUGUCGGAUAGUUAAAUAUCCGCCAUGGUUUCUCAUUUAAACGACGUCAUUUUAACAACUUAGUCGUCUAUUACAAUUUACAACGUCUACAAUUUAUUAACACCGACGUGGUUUGUUGUUGUGAUAAGAAUAUUUUAUUAUUUUUAUAUCAAAAUAUUCAAAAUAAAUUUAAAAUAAAUCAGAAAAAUGCAAAGUCAACUCCUAUGAAGUCAUUGAUAUAUUUUCUUCCCCUAAACCUUGAAAAAAUUCAUUUUGAAUAACAAAAAUUUAAAAUGGCCAUCCAAAACAAAAUUAUUUUGAUGAGUCAUAAAAUCACUUCUAGUUUUAUGGUUUAGGGUUUAGAGUCUAGGGUUUAGAGAUUAGGGUUGUUAUUUAUUGGGGUUUAUUUUUAAAGUAUAAUUUUUGGGUAGUCUAGGGUAUAUAUUAGGCUGUAAAACCAUAAACCCUUUUAUAAACUUAAUUUUUAAAAUUAUAUAAUUUAGUUUUAAGGGUUUAGGGUAUUAAUUGUUAACGACGGUGGUUGAGUCGUGGAAUACAUAUGUUACGUCGUGCAGUAAAAUAUCCGACAUGGUUUCCACUUUAAACGACGUCAUUUUAAUAUGUAAGUCGUCUAUUAUAAUUUACAACGUUUUCAGUUUCUUAACUUCGACGUGGUUUUUCAGUCGUCUUUAUAUCAAAAUAUUCAAAAUAAAUUUAAAAUUAAUUCGAAAAAUGAAGCGUCAAAAGAAACGGCGUUACGUUCAGUGUUUCCGUCGUGGAAUAUUACAUUUACGUCGGUUCUUGUAGAACUUUCGCCAUGGUUUUUCUUUCGACGUUUUAAAGAACGCGCGCUCUAAAAAUUUUCGCGCGCCCUAAAUUUUUUUAUAUUUGGCUCUUAUUCUUAUACUUCUAACCCUGAACCCUAAAAUUUUCAGAUUUCGCGCAACAUAACAUUCGCUCUCUCACUUCUGCUCUAAUUAAAAGUUGCACUCUCCAGGCUCCGUCGAAUCUGUAAGCUCGUCCAACCUGUAAGUACAAACCCUAUCUUCCCCUUGUAAAUUCAUUGAAUGAUAUUAGGUUGUUUUGUUAAAUGGUUUUAGGUAUAUGCUUUGCGAUCUGUUAAUAAUGUGCUUAUAGGUAUGGGUUCAUGGAUUUUCUGUUUAAUGGGUUCAUGGAUUUUCUGUUUAAUGGGUUCAUGGAUUACAUUAUCUGUUAUGUUGAAUUGGGAAUGGAUUUAAUUUUGUCGGAUCUUUUAAUCACCCUAUGUUAUGUUGAAUUGGGAAUGGAUUUAUUGUUUUCAUGCUUGGUUUCAUGUAUAUGUUGGUUUCUUGCUUGGUUUCAUAUAUAUGUUGUGUUCUUAAUGGGUUUUGGGUUCUUGAAAAUAAACUGAGACACGACGCCUUUUUAGGCAUACGACGACGAUUACACGACGGUUUAUGAAAAAACUGUCGUUGUAUUACUUAUACACGACGGUUUUUUCAUAAACCGUCGUUUGUAUUACUUAUAUUAGACGACGUCUGUUGAAAAUCCGUCAUCUAUAUAUGCCAAAUACGUCUGUUUUUGUUUAAAACUCGUCGUCUCUGUUGUGUAUUACUUGCUAUUAGAUCUUUGUAUAAUCUGCUAUAGUGAUGGUCAUUGCCUGUAUUUUCACUUUAUUAUAGAUAAUAGGUUAUAGUGUCGGAGAUGGAUAAGUCAUGGAUGCACUCGAAUAGAAGAUCGAAGGCAUAUGAGUUUGGGGUGGAAGCAUUUUUGAACUUUGCUGUAGAAAAUCUUCUAACUACAACACAUAUCCGUUGUCCAUGUGUUAAAUGUGUUAAUUUGAAGUUGUUUGGGGUUGGAAUUAUAAGGGAUCACUUAUACUUUAAUGGAAUUGACCAAAGCUAUAAGAAUUGGACAUUUCACGGAGAACCUUGGGAAGCAACUACUAAUGCUAGUAGAAAUGUUGAAGAAGAUGAUGGCCAUAGUAGGUACAGUUUUGUGUCUGAAGAAAUUGAUAUGGAUGAUAAUGAUUUUGGUGAUUUUGGUUCUGAUCCGUAUGAGUUUGCCAAUGUGAUUGGGGAUGGAGAUCAACCAGUGUACCCUGGUUGUAGAAAGUACACGAAGUUAUCGGCAUUAGUGAAGUUGUAUAAUUUGAAGGCAAAACAUGGGAUGAGUGAUGUCUGUUUUACAGAAUUAUUGAUACUUCAAGGCGAUUUGCUUCCAGAAGGAAAUACAAUACCAACCUCUAUGUAUGAGGCUAAAAAGACUUUGUGUGCAUUGGGGCUGAGUUAUGAGAAAAUGCACGCAUGCCCCAAUGAUUGCAUCUUGUAUAGGAAGGAGUAUGAGGAUUCAACUAAUUGUCUUACUUGUGGUAUCUCAAGGUGGAAGGAAGGCAAAGAUUCAAUCUUGAAAGAGGGUGUGCCAGCGAAGGUGGUGUGGUAUUUUCCUCCAAUUCCAAGGUUUAAAAGGAUAUUUCAAUCACAUGAGACAGCUAAGAGUUUGACUUGGCAUGCUGCUAGAAAAUCAAUUGACGGUCAGAUGUCUCAUCCGGCGGAUUCCCCGUCUUAGAAACUUCUUGAUGAUAAAUGGCCUGAGUUUGGUAAUGAGCCGAGAAACUUGAGAUUGGCUCUUUCAUCUGAUGGAUUCAAUCCCCACAGUUCUCUAAGUAGCAGAUAUAGUUGUUGGCCGGUUAUCUUAGUUACAUAUAAUCUCCCUCCAUGGCUGUGCAUGAAACGAAAGUUCAUGAUGUUAACCUUAUUGAUUUCCGGUCCUAAACAACCCAGAAAUGAUAUAGACGUCUACUUGGAGCCUUUGAUUGAUGAUUUAAAAUCUUUGUGGGAUGGGAUUAGAGGAGUGUAUGAUGCACAUAAUGGAGAAUACUUUACACUCAGAGCUGCAUUAAUGUGGACAAUUAAUGAUUUCCCCGCCUAUGGAAACUUAUCUGGUUGUGUUGUUAAAGGAUAUAAAGCUUGUCCAAUAUGCGGCGAUGAUACACCUAGUCACAGGUUGAAAAAUGGCCACAAAAUUUGUUACAUUGGGCAUAGAAAAUGGUUACCAAUCAAUCAUCCAUAUAGGAGGCAACGUGCAGCUUUUAAUGGGAAACCUGAAUAUGGCAUACCUCCCGAGCCAUUAACCGGAGAAGAAGUGCUGCAUAUGGUUGAAAAUGGUGACAGAGUUUGUUGGAAGAAGAACUCAAUAUUCUUUGAUCUCGAGUAUUGGAAAUACCUUCCUAUGAGGCAUGCCCUAGAUGUUAUGCACAUUGAGAAGAAUGUUUGGGAUAGUAUUAUUGGUACAUUGCUGGAGAUCCCUGGAAAAAAUAAAGAUGGGAUUGCUGCUCGAUUAGAUUUAUUGAACAUGGGGGUCAAAACUGAUUUGCAACCCGAGUAUGGAGAAAGACGUACUCGUUUGCCUCCUGGGCCUUGGAAUUUGUCAAGAGCAGAGAAGAGAGAGGUUUGCAAUUCUUUCUAUGGUAUGAAGGUCCCUGAAGGUUAUUCUUCAAAUAUUAAAAAUCUUGUAUCUUUACAAGAUUCAAGACUUCUUGGCCUUAAAUCACAUGAUUGUCAUACCUUAAUGCAACAAUUGCUCCCUGUGGCAAUUCGUUCUGUUUUGGAGAAGCCUGCCAGGUAUGCAAUAACUCGUUUGUGCUUCUUCUUCAAUGCUAUAUGUGCAAAGACUGUUGAUGUUUCCAAGCUAGAUAAGUUGGAAGAAGAUGUAGUAGUUACUCUGUGUUUGCUUGAGAAGUACUUUCCCCCUUCAUUCUUUGAUAUCGUGGUUCAUCUAGUAGUACAUCUUGUCAGAGAAGUUCGUCUAUAUGAGCCAGUAUAUUUUAGGUGGAUGUAUCCGUUUGAAAGAUAUAUGAAAGUUCUGAAGGGGUAUGUUCAGAAUCGUACUCGUCCCGAAGGUUGCAUUGCUGAGCGGUAUAUAGCUGAAGAAGCGGUAGAGUUUUGUACUCAGCAUUUAUCUGAUGUUAGUACAGUUGGAGUGCCUUCAAGCCAAAAGAUGGGACUUUCAAAGCCAUUAUCAGGUUGCACAGUGAGCGUAGUUGAUCAGGACCUGUUGAAUCAAGCACAUCUAUAUGUCUUGGAGAAUACGGAGGAAGUCCUACCUUAUAUCGAGUACGUAUGAGUUUUAUUCUUUAAGUUUCCAUUUUAAAUUAUUUCUUAUGUUUAUCUUCUAUAUUUGGGACCGUAAUGCUUGAAUUUUUCGUGUCAUGUAGGCAACAUAUGAUCCACAUCAAGACUGCUUAUCCAAAAUUUAGAAAGAGAACAAAGUGGCUGCAGGAUAAGCACAAUAGCACUUUCAUUCAAUGGCUACGCUUCAAGGUAUAUGUUGUUGAAUAACAUAUUUCUCUUUUAAUUUUCUUCUUAUUUCUAUGUUAGAUUAAGAUAUAUGAUUAAUUUGCAGGUUCAAAGUGAACUUGAGGAAGACAAUCAUGGCGUAUCAGAAAAUUUAAGGUGGCUAGCAGCUGGUCCAAACAUGGCAGUGCCAUUAUAUAGGAGCUAUCUUAUUAAAGGUAUUAAAUUCAAUAUCAAGGCACAAGAUGAUGUGCGGACAACUCAAAAUAGUGGAGUUUAUUUACUUGCACAUACCAUGCAAGUUGCUAGUGCCAAGGAUAAAAACCCAAUUCUCUCAAAUAUGGGUUUCUAUGGUGUCAUUCAAGAAAUUUGGGACCUUGACUACCAAAAGUUUACAAUCCCAGUCUUUAGGUGUGAUUGGAUAGAUAGUUCUGGUCUUGUAGUAGACGAACUUGGAUUUACCCUUGUAGAUUUGAGUAAAAUUGGACAUAGGAAUGACCAAUUUGUUUUGGCUUCUCAAGUCAAACAAAUAUUUUUUGUUGACGACCCGAUGCAUCAUGGUUGGUCGGUAGUGUUAUCAAUGCCUAAUAGAGAAUAUAAUGAUGUUAUUGGUGAUGAAGUCUUAGGUGAUGUGAUAAUUGAGUGUGAGCCAUUUACUAGAGGGAUGCCAAAUGUUGACACAUUUGAUGAACUGGUGGGUGAGUUAGGCGGUCAAAAUAUUCGAGAUGGGUGUGAAGAUAUAUGGAUUGAAUGAUGCUUAUGUAAUUGGCAGUGUAUGACAUUAAUUUUGUAAUAUAUUGUAAUGUGAUUUCUUCACUUUCUACGUUCAAAUAAAACACGACGUUAUUGUGAACCAGUUAUUCAGCAUAUUUACCGACGUCUUAAAGCAACGUAACAAUGAAGAACCAUGACGCUAUUGUGAAGCAAUUAUUCAGGAUAUCACGUCGGGGAAGGAUUAAGAACCGCCAUGUAAUUCAAAAUAACACUACUCCAAUCCCAUAAUACCGACGUCUAAAAAACGAGAUAUAUAAUCUGAACGUUAAAAAAUACGACGUCAUCAUACAUUUUCCACGUCGCAAGUUCUUUUAUAAACGAAGAGGAACGAAAUGAAUUCCGACGGUAAUUCAUUAUAACCGCCGUCUAAUAUCAAUUAAACGACGUUAUUUGUAAUACGGCUCUCAUCAUAAUCAACGCCGUCUAUAUGUUCUGUAAUACGGCUCUCAUUUAUUUGGAACCGACGUUGUUUAGAAGUUCAACGUCGUCUAUAUUAAUAAGUGCGUCGUGAGUAAUGAAUACAUAUAAAUACAACGUCGACAAUAUAAAUGCCACCGACAUUGUUUCGCAUUCAACGUCAACUAUAUAAAUACAUACGUCGUAAAUAAUGACACUGACAACUAUUUCCACGUCAUCUUUUUUAGAAAAAUCGAAGUGGAAAAUUUAUUUCACGACGGUUGUUUGUAAAUAAGAGACGUAGUAUAUUUCAAUAACGUCGUCUUCUCAUGUAUUUAAAGACGUCAUAUUUUUUCUUGUCGUGAAAAUUAUAUUUAACGGCGUAAUGUUUUAGUUAUCGUCGUUGUAUGUCUAUCUUGCGGCCUUGUUCUUUUAAUAUGUGUCAUAUUUUUCCUUUUUAACGACGGUGAUUUGUUUGAGUUGGUCGUCUAUUCUCAUCGUCGACUAUUUUUUAGAACUUUAGCAGACUAAACACGUCUGUUUUUAUUUGUUUUCGACGUUGGUUUAUUUAACAACGUCUAAUAUUUAUCGUCGUUGUUUGUUUCUGAAAAUAGGACGUAUAAAUUUUGUAAUACGACUCUCAUAUAUUUGUAACCGACGUUGUUUCCUUGUUCAACGUCUACUCUAUAAAUACAUACGUCGUAAAUAAUGACACUGACAACUAUUUCCACGUCAUCUUUUAUAGAAAAAUCGAAGUGAAAAAUUUAUUUUACGACGGCUGUUUUUAUAUAGGCGACGUAGUAGGUAUCAAUAACGUCGUCUUCUAAUGUAUUUAAAGACGUCAUAUUUUUUAUUGUCGUGAAAAUGAUAUUUAACGGCGUCUUUUUUUAAUUUUCGUCGUUGUCUGUCUAUAUUGCGGCCUUGUUCUGUUAAUAUGUGUCAUAUUUUUCCUUUUUAACGACGGUUUUUUUAGAGACUUGGUCGUCUAUUCUCAUCCUCGACUGCUUUUUUAGAUCUUUUUGCAGUACAAAGACGUCGUUUUGUAUUUGUUGAUGACGUUGUAUAUUGUAACAACGACGGUGAUUUAGCGUCGUGGUUUAUGAGGGAAAAGAUGACGGUGGAUUCCACGACCAUUGAAAAACCGAAUACACGACGGUGAUUUACCGUCGUCUUUUUGCUUUUUUGUAGUAGUGUAGGAGAGAAAUGUGAUUCUCUUCUAACAGAAUUACAGCUGUCAUCCUAUUAGAUUCUUACACCUGUCAUAGCAAAUCUAAGCUAGAGAAUCCACCUGGACUAUGAUCUAAUGGCUCUCCUUACAUCAUUUAAAUAAGCUGACCAAAAACAGAACAAAUAGAGAAUAGCUUCAGCUCUAAGAAAUCUGCUGCAGGAUUAUAUUUCAACACUAGCUUGUACCAAAUCACUUGGGUUUGUUUUCGUGCUCAUGCAACCCUUCCGCAAGAGAUUUCUCAUGAAAAUGAUCACACUCUAUCCUUGUGUAGAAAUAGGAUACCCUACCUAGCUAGCUCCUCUGGUUAACAGACAACAAAAGGGACCACCAUGUUCUUGAAAAAUGAAUUCAUUGCUCCUCUGGUUAAUUAACAGUACUGCAUAUGGUAUGCCCUACAACAAAAACUUGUUAACUUGUGUGAUAAACUAGUAGUCUAUUUCUUUUUCAUCUUUUUAUAAAUGCUGCUUCAAAAGACAAGAAUUUGUGGUGCUAUGAGAAUAUACAUGGACCCUCGGAUGCUCUAUGAUUUGGUUGGUUGGGAGCACCAAACCACCCUUGCAUGUGGCUUUGUCCUUUCAUCUAUGAUCUUCAGGCCCAACAAGCAAGGGAAGUCUUUCAUUUGUUUGAAGAAUUGAUACUUAUUGAGAAUGCAGUAGGUAAUGAGUACAUAUCUAAAAAGCAUAUGAUAUCAAGAGAGUGCUAAUCUGUAGCAAUUGUAAAAUGUAGGAUACAUACUUUUUACUUAAAGUUAAACAUAUGAAAAGAUGUUUUACUAAUCGAAUUAUUUGAUAUAGCAAAUGUAAAUUGAAAAAGAUGAAAACCAACAUUAAGUUCUCUUUGUAGGCGCUAGUAGAGUAAAACAUGCCAAUUCGUUGUAAGUGCAAGCCACAUCGCUUAUGCUUAUACUCAACAUGAAAUGAAUUGUUGACAUUACAAUUCGUGAAAUCUAUCUGUUGACUCUAGCGACGUCAGUAAUUUCAUCUAAAUUGUAGAAAUUUGUUAUAAAAACAAAGAAGAUUAUUGAACAACCUGAUUACCUAAAACCAAAUUAGAUUUUAGAAAAAUAUAGUAGAUACAUAAAACUUUAUUACCUAACAAAGAAAGAUGUCAAAUCUUUCAAAAACAUUUUCUUACAACCAAGGGAAAAAAUCCAAGAUUGAAUUGAUGAAAAUGACUUCGUUUGGACCACUCAAACCUUCUUUGCUAAUUACUCAGUUAGCUAGUUUGUUAAAGUAGAGAAGUUACCUAGUAUAUCUCCAACAAAAAUAGUCAUAUUGUAAAGCCUGUUAUGUAACUAAGGGAAUUGUGGAGAGAAUAUAGAGAAAACAAGUAGCAAUAGAAAGGCUCUUCAUCUGCUUGUAUUAAAGUUUACUUUGUAUCCAUUACAAUUGAGAAGGUAGCCUUGUUUAUAGGCCAAGCCUUGGCUAACAACCAGAGAAAGAAGGCUCAUGGAAGGUGUAAGCAAAUAACGUUCCAACUUGUGGGCUCCACUUGCAGACUUUUACAACACUCUCUCUUGGAUACCACAAUGUAUGGAAUCUGUCUCGUUAAAAACCUUGCCAAUAAAAUUUAGUGGGACAAAAAAUGGUCCAAAGGGAAAAAGAGCGCAUAAUCAUGUGUAACAUAAAAUUAUGUAUAUAUAACACUGACACGCGUGCGACACUGCCUCGUUAAAACCUUGCCAGGUAAAACUCAGUGGGACAAAAAAGAAAAAACUAGAUGAAGGAAAAAGAGUACAAUGUGUGAAAAUCUUAUUGAUGGCACGCUCCCCCUGAUGCUGACAAAAUAUCUUUAAGUCAUGAUGUUGACAAUCUUUCUGAAUGUCGUAGUUGAACACUGCUUCCAUGAAUCAAUCUUGUAAUACUGGUGGAUGCUACCCCUAAAGAAUUACUCCCCUUGAUGUCUUCUUUGAUGAUCCAACACAAAUGAUAUUGAUAUCACAUUUGUACUUCACAAACUGAUCUUUGGUAAUGCUUGUAGAAAACUUGUUGUUGUAACAUCUCUGGAGGAUCCCUGUGUGUCGUCAUUCAUCUAAUUCUUAUUGAGGUUAGAGUAAUACAGAAAAAUAUCUAGGCUAUUUUCAUAAGACUUUCACUGUACACAAUGGUUUGAAUUUCAUAUGUUUUCCAAUAUAAAAAACAAUAAGCUCAUAUUUAUAAUGAUAAGAGCAUUAAAUAUUUAUAUGGUGUUGUUUACCCUUUUUGUAUUUGAGUAUGUUGAAGCCUAAAUAAAAUUCCCCAUUAAUUUUUUAAACACUUAAUGGUUUCUUGAGUAACUUUCUUGCCACUAUUAGCAGAUAAUACCCUAACAGAUUUGAACAACUUUAUAUACUUGCACCCCAAGUAAUAGACUUUAAACAAACAAUUGUGAUUUUGGAUGGGGAAACCUCCCAAGAGAGUUCUUUUCUAUGCCUCAGACUUGUGACGACUUCACAAUUUAUUAAGACAAAAAUGGUAAGCAAAGCAAAAUACACAAAUUUAUGAAGGGUAUAACAGACUAAUCCAAGCAAAACUACUUGAAGCACAAAGUAACAAAUGAAUCUUUAAAUCUACGUACUUCUCAAAGGGGUUGGACUUUGACUUAUGUUUGAAAACAUAGUCGCAAUGAUGACUUGUGAUUAGACUGGACUGAACUUUUGUUGACUAGAUUGAAUGUUUCUGCACUGGAAUUUCAUGUCAGCACCUUCAACUAAUAGAGAUUAGCUAGAAAUCGAUACCAAGUUUGAAGUUUGGCAGAGCUAUAAACAAGUUAAACCUUGAAUAGGCUAUGGAAGUGAUCAAAACUGCAAACGAGUACCUAUUCUUGUUGAUUCUGAGUGAUUUUAAAGCUAUCUAGACAAUUUUAAGACAUUAAGAUGUAUUUGAAAAGCUUGUUGAGGAUUUUGUAUGAUGAAAUACCUGACUUCUUCUUGUUUUAUCUAAUUUGAUGAACCAAAUUUGUCAGAGGAAUUAAUCUCGUUUGAAUUCUGUUUGAUUUACCUUAUCUGGAUUACAAGGGCAAUCUUGGUUUCUUCUUGGUUUUCUGAACUUCUUUUUGAGCUGGAUUGCUUGUUAAGGAAGAUUGCUUGCUUGCUUUUGGUAGUUGUAAGAUCAUAUGAUCUUUGAUUUCUUUUUAUCAAUCUGGAGUUAUUGUUGAGUUUUUCCUUAAUUUGUUGGUUAUUUGUCCCUUCUCCUGUCCAGACACUUUUGUAUUUAUAGGAGAAAAAUGAUGUUGAAGAAAUCUGGAAUUUUUAGUUUUGGACUAUCCUCCAUUUAAUGCACAAGUGGCAAAAGUUUUGUUAGUUAAUGCAUUGAUCGUUUUUGGCACCUGCUCAUUAAUGUUCUUGAAUGUCUCCUGAUCGUUCCUUUUGGAACAACUAAGCUGAAGUGAGCAAUAAUGCCCAAAUUCCUCCAACGUUGGUGUAACACCCGGAUCCAAUUUUAACUUCUCAUUCAAAUUAUUUAAUUUAUUUAAUUGUGAAAUUACAAUUUUACCCUUAGGGCAGGGUUAUUUUGGUCAGUUUUUAAUCCGAUAGGAUUUUGGGGAAUUGAAUGGCACCAUUACUUAGAGUGCAUCGAUACGAGUUCAUAGACAUUCAGUGGGAUCAAAUAAGAGUUUUAACAAAGAAGUUACGAUCAACGGAAGUGCAAUGGCACCACCGUAAAUAUUUCAAAAUUUGAAAUUGAAACACUAGAUUCUCUCUCUCAAUCUCUCCCUCAUGAAUCUCUCUCUCCUCUGUUGGGAGCACCACAACCCCGUCGUCUUCUAACGAUGAUUCCGGGGUCAUCCUUCCUCUCCUGCUACGAAACUGGUUACAAUUUUUUUUCAUCUCUCUCUCCUCUUUACAUCCAUACCAAUUUCCAACCUCAAUUCCAAGGGAUUAAGCCAAAAAUUCGAACGAAAACCCAACUCAAACUGGCCUGUCAAAAACCAUGACUUCCGGCGUUUGUUCUGGCCAACUUCACCGAUCACCAAGUGGGUUCCAAAACACUCCCGUGCCUCCCCUCUGUAAUUUUCCUCGAAGACCCGACUUGAUUUCAAUCCGAAACCAUCGAAUUGAAACCUAGAAGGUGUUUCAACGAGAAAACCAACUGUUCGAGGGCUUUAGCGGCUGAAUUGAUCUUCGAGCAAAGGUAUAAAGUUACUCCCCUUGAUGUGUUUGAUCUUUUGAUAUGAUUAUUGGCCAGCGGUUUGGAGUUUUUCGAUCGCCAGAAAUUUUUUCAAGACACCCGUAGGCAGUGGUGGCUCGUCAGUGGGGUAUCAAGGUUGGGUUUUGAAGCUAGAAUGUUCCCCAUGUCGUCCCAAGCACGAUAGUAUGCUGAAAUUUGAAUUUGGUUGUUGUUUGACGGUCGAUCAAAUUUACAUAUAUUAGGCGUCUUCCGUGUUCGAUAUGUUCAGACCGUUGGAUCGACUCCAUUUCCAACUAUGCUGGUCUAGAUACCUCUCAGAUCAUGUAGGAACUACGAAUUGAGAAUCGGAGUCCCGGAUACUCCAAUUUAAUGGCUCAAAGUUUGGGUAAAACGGUGACCGCCCGAUCGUAUGAUUGUGAGCGAUCCGACCGCUCGAUCUGGACCAAACUUGUAGGACGUGUUUAGUAAGCUUUGUUGAACCCGUAGGGAACUUUUGGAUAGGAAAUUGGAGGUCAUGGGCCCAACAGGCCCAGCUGACCAAAUUUGGGAAGUUUGACCACUUGGUUGACCGAGCGUCUUUCGAGGUUAUUUCACAUUUCGGAACAUGUAGUUGGACCUUAGAAACUUCCUGUUUGUUGUAUACACACCUUGAAUUCCGGGAAAAAUUAGGAAUUUAUUUUAAAGUUUCCAUCCGAAUUAUUUUAAUUAAUCUAGUCCUCGUAUUUUUCAAUAGGCACUUCGGCUCAGCGUACUCAAUAGGGUUAAGCAGCUCUAGAUUAUCUGUGAGUGGACUUUGUUUUUAAAUAAUAAUCAUUAUUUUCAAAGAGAAAAAGCUAUGCAUAAUGAGUUAUUCGAUUAUUGAGUUUAACAUAUUAUUUAUUUAAAUGUUUGAAUUUGCAUAUUGUGAUUAUCUUGAAUUAAUAUAUGCUAUGUUUGAGAGUUACUAUCUGACAGGACCCGAUCCAAAUUCCGCUUUGGAAUUCGAGCCGGACCCUGUGCGUGUCCGACACCUGGCAAAUGUCGGGCACAAAUGACCUAUUUGCCCUUCUAUACAAAACAUGAUAAAAUAACAAGGUUGACGUCUACCGAAAAACCGGCAGAGUUUUCCUUGUAACUGGCUCAAUACCAACAUAUUUACACCUGCCAAACAAGUAUAUAUAUAUACAUCCAACUGCCAGCAUACAUUUAUAUACAGUCCAACCGUUCAAUUCUCAAUCUAGGGCAAAACAUCAGAGCAACUUCUAAGAAUUUACAAAGAAGUGAAUCUUUUUACAAAACAAAAAUCCUACAUCAAAGAAAAGGCGCGGAAGAUAGAAAACGGCCCGGUGGUGGAUCACUGUGCACGUCUUCUGCCUGGGGGAGCAAAACAUGGAAAAGGGUGAGUGGACCUAAAAAAAAAGUUUAGAAAAUAUGAACAUACUAACUCCACUGUAAAAACAGUUGUACAAACUAAAUUAUUCUCUUUAUUUCUGCAAUCAAUGCACGUAUAUAAUUAUACAUGUAAAUAAUCAUAUUCAUGGUCAACAUUACUUUUAAAAACAGUUUAAAACUACCACCUAGGUGUACCCUUUAUUUCCGUCAAUUCCUUAUAUCCGUCAAUUCCUUGCAUCACCAUAGGUGACACAUACUCGCAGGUCUCAGUGACACGAGGUCAGUCCGAGCCGCAACUCGCAGGAUUCAGGGGACCGUGGUCCACCUUUAUCCGCAUACUCGCUCCACACGAGUUCGAUUACCAAGGAACUUGUGGGGCAACUGUCAAGCAUGCUGACUAAACCGAAGGCAACCAAUAUAAUCCGAAGGCAACAUUUAAUAUCUGGGUACAAGGUGGUUUAACAAAAUAUAAAGUUUCGGAAGCAAAGCUGUUAAAUAAUUAACUUUCUGUAACCUUUCAAAUUCUGCUGCCAUUUAUCUGACAAGUAACUAGAAUUUCUUUUCUUAUAUCCGUUAAAAGGUAUUUCACUCGGCAGCAUGUAAAAUAAAACAGCUUAUAACUGAAACUGAACGGCUUAAAUUCAUUUAUUAAAAUAUAGAGUCCACUCACCGGUAGUCCGAGCUCGCUGGACCUCUUGAAGGUCCCUUCUAUGGGUCAACUGGUGCCCGGGUGCCUGAUUCAAUGACCAUAAUAUACUAUUAAUACAAUAUAGUGUUAAUAUAAAAACUCUUACCCCCAGCUCCUAAAAGUACAUGCGUACAAUUAAAGUUAUCUCUAUACCCAUAAAAGCUUUCCUUCCAGUUUAGCAGUAUCUUGGGACUCAAAAAGCGUUAAAGUCCCAAAAAAUCAACCCGAGACCCCACGGGUCCAUGACCUCACAAUAUAAUCCGGAAGCCGCAAGAAGGUCCAAUAUAUCUAGGACACAUGUCCAGAGGGUAUUGGUCUCGAUCGGACGGUCAGAUUGAUCACGAUCGUGCAAUCGCAUAUUUUCCAAACCCUAGCUCUAGGGUUCGCGAUUUUGGAGUCCCUAGGACUCCGAUUCACAAUCCGUCGAAUCCUACACGAUUCUGAAAUUGUCUAGAGUAACAUAUCUGAAACUGGUUACGAUCCAACGGCUCAACCAUAUUGAACCCGGAAAUCGCACAAUAUGGAAAAUCCGUUCGAGGCUCAAACGGUAUCCAAAUUGAGAUCCGUGAAUUCCUACGCGCUCGUGACAACCUAAGGAUCGCAUCAAGACACAGUACCACUGCACUACCCUCGCCCACACGCCGCCGCACGCGCCGGCAGCGCUGGGUGUCCAAAGCGAUUAUGCAUCGCCGGAAAAUCUCGAAACCACGGCUCCAAACUCCUACCCUAGGUAUAACACCAUAUUUGGAACCACUUUUGUUCUUGGACCUACCCCAAAAACUGACCGAAAGUGGCCGAACAGGGAGGCCGAAAAUCAGCCAAAUUCCAAUUUGAAAACUGAGCUAUCUACGGUCAAAAUCGAUGCAAACCUACCCAACCAUCAGCUAGAGCAUGGAAAAUAGGUAGAAAUCCAUACCUUACUCGACAAAUUUGGAGAAGAAUUGAGGGAGAACGAGCGGUUGCAAAACUGUGAAAAACCAGCUCGAGUUUUACAGUUUCCGGCGGCUGGCAGCGGGCUGGGCGGGGCUUGAAGACGGAACCGAGCUGGUCCUUUUGGCACCGACGGCAAGGGCAGGGGUGGUCGGUGGCGAGAGUUCUGGCGAUUGGAAAGUGACGGGAAGGAGGACAGCGGGAGAGGGAGAGAGAGAGAGAGAGAGAGAGAGAGAGAGAGGAAAACUGAGGGAGAAGAGAGAGAGUGAGGGUUUUAAAAAUCUGAUUUUUCCUAAUUACCAUUUUGCCCCUCGUGAUAUUUUAACCGUAUUUUCUUCGUUAAAACUCCGAUUCGAGUCCACUUCAUGUCUGCGAACUCAUUUCGUCGUGCUCUACACAACGGUGUAUGUGGAAUUGUCAAAUUCCUUUUCGGUCAAAAAGUCAACUUUUCGUUAAGAAAUUAUUCCAAGGGCAAAAUUGUCUUUCCUCAUAAUAAAUUACUAAUUAAAUAUGAAUUUUAGGUUUGGGUUAUUACACUAUACUUGGAUGCGUGUUGGGUACAUGGGAUUGGUAGAAAGAGAUUAUGGAAUGGGAUUUGAGUUGUGGUUUAUAUUAAUUUUGAAGUGCUUUAGGCACUACCCUAUGUACCUUCCUGGUUUUGGAAUACAUGGAUUGGAUACUUGGAAACUUUUGGGAUACUUUGAUAUGUCGGAACCCGACCACCCUUGACAGGGUGUUUCGUAGACCCUUAGCAGGAUUAGUCUGCAAGCGUAGGACUUGUCACAGGCGUACAAGUAUUGAAGAUUCUGUUGUACAUGUUGGUGAGCCAGUCCCCCGGUUGGACAACUCAUUCCCUAGCCACAUGGUCAAUUGAGGAUUCUUCUAUAUGGUCUAGCCAAACAAUCCCCCGGUUAGAUUAUUUCCUCAGUACAAGUUUGGUAGUGGUCAUACUUAUGUAUAUAUAAAAAAUUUAUAUAUAUACACACAUAUACUUUCGUUCUUGUUUAUCAAUGAGGAUUCUUUCUUGCUUGUGGUGCCAACGGGCACGCGUUUUGGGUGAGAGUAGUUUGGGGAAAAUGGGUAAGGUUUUGAGUGGGAUGGGUAUUACUAUACCAUUAUGAGAUAUGGAUUUCACUUUGGUUUUGAUUUAGCUAUAUAUAUAUAUAUCGGUUUUGAAUGCAUAUCCCUUUUAGAAUCGUUUUCCAAAUGGUGGGGUUAGUAUGUUGUUUUUAACUAUGUAAAAACUUUAUUUUUGUCCACUCACAAAUUUUCUGUUUUGCUCCCACAAGGCAGUAGUUGAGCUGAGUCGAGCGACUAAGCCGAGUCUUGUACUUCCGAGCCCCAAGUUUCUGUAGGACAAUGUUUACUUGUUUUUAAUUCUAUUGAACUCGUUUCAUUGUAAACUGAAUUUCUUUUGAUAUGCUUGGUUAUCGCCCAUGCUAGGGUUGGAUGUAAGGUCAGAGGCCUAUUAUGUAAAUUGCAUGAUUUUUCAUUGUGCAUGCUGUUGUUGGGAUUUUAUUACUUUGUUUUUUACAAGUUAAAAAUUUGGGAAAGUUUGUUUUUCAAGAGAGACUCUACCGAAAUUUUAACAAAAUGUCUAAUUCCUCUUUUCGUUAAUUUGGAAAAGAAGCUAUAAUGUUAGUAAGUGGACCCGGCAUCAGUUUCAUGUCCGAAAUACCACAGGAUUCGCCACGGAUUUCAAGGAAAUUCAGGGCGGGUCUUGUCAAUUGGUUCCAUAAAUACAAAUAUCCUGGUAGUAGAAAAUAAAUCCGGCGAUCUUACAAUAAAUAGUCGUGAUUUUUGUUUGUGCAAAUAAUCUCACGGGAGAAUAUUCUCUUCUAGAUUCUUCAACCUUCGAUCUUCCUUCUCCCUCUUCCUCGAUUCCUGUAAAAAAGACUAGAGUAAAUAGACCACACCCGGGGGGUGUUGGCCAAAGGCCCUCCGAUGCCUAAGUUCGUUCGAGUGUUUGUAGGAAAACAAUAGCUAAGCAAAGGGUACGGAGUUGUAUGUAGGGUGUAAACCGGGUGGCCGGAGCCAUGUGUGGUGGCCGGAGCUGUGUAGAGAAAAUAUGGAGAGUGGAGAGGGAGAGAGAGCUUCGGGUAUUUUUCUCGGGUAUAAGGAGUAGGUUUAGAUGUACCUUGAAUGAUGAAUGAGGUCGUCUAUUUAUAGGAGCCUUGGGGCUAAGGUUUCGUAGGGAUCGAGUCGGACCUGAUAAUAUCCGAAUUAAAUAUAUUAUCGCUUAAGAAGAUAAUAUCUAAAUUAAAUGAUAUUAUCUUCUCUUUAUUAGGAUAAUAUCUUAAUUAAUGAUAUUAUCUCUUUAAAUAAAGAUAAUAUCAUAUUAAUUAAGAUAUUUAUCCCAAUUAAUUAAUUAGCUAGAUAAACUGGUUUAAUUAAUUAAUUUAAGAGAUAAUCUUCUUUUCCACGUGGCGUGCCUUGAUUGGAGAUGAAAAUAUAUGCUCCCACAAUUUCCAACUAAAGUAAGUCUGACUUCACUUUCCAGCUUUCAUGGUCAUUAAAGUUAUUUGGAGCCGAGUUACCAACAGUGAGGAGUCAUUCUGACAUACCUUAACAUCUAAGAAAUUAUAAACUUUGGGCUAAACUAAUUCAAAUAAUUUUGACCCUUGGAUUAAAUCACCGUUGAUUAUCAAAAUAAUGUGAAUUUAUUUUAAUUUGAUCCCCCUUUGUUUGAAUAGUAUGGGCCAUUCACCACUUUUGGUAAAUAAAGCCCAAUACCUUUUUGAAAAGUGAACCCAAUGCUUAUUUCGGGAUGGUGCACAUAUUUCAGGCCCAAACAGUACCCCUAAGUCUGAAUAUCGUCUCUAAAAAACGAUUUCAUACUUAAUGAUUGGCCUGCCUUCUAUUGAUGUGCGCCCUUUUGAUCUAUUUGCUCCUGCCCACGUCUGUUCAUUGAUUGGACAUUUUGGAAAAGUGGGUAUUAACGAUUAGUUAAUUGGGAGACUUUGGAAAAGCCCAAAGGAGAGAGAAAAUUUUUAAAAGAAGCAAAAAUGGACAAAAUUGCCCUUAUUUAUUUUUUGAUUUCCUAAGAAAUCCUUUACAUUUGCAUGUCUGUGGUUUGAAAGUUGAGAGGUUAUUCCGUCUUUUUUGAAAAAGCUUUGGCUUUUUCCAAAAGUGAAAGUUUUUUUAUGGGUAAAACCUAAAUUUACUUAGUUAAUUCUUGGCAACUCUUCUUCUCCCACUAUCUGUCUUCUUUAGAGUAUAAAGCUGCAACCUACUUUACUCUUUUAAAACCAUCAUUAACCCCGAGUUCUUCAAUUUGUAGAGUAUUUCCAAUCUUUGAAAUUUCAAAUUUCAAUGAAAAAUUCAAGCAUUUCCCUAAUUCUGCCUGAAUAUUCUCGAUGGCUUCUCCCAAAACCCGUGCUAGUAGUUCUUCCUCCUUCCCUCCACCUUAUAUUUCAGGCGAAGGUGUUGAUACACAUGCCAUUGAGAUUCGAAGCAAACUCCGUUCAUAUUCCAAGAAGAAUUUGAAUGAAAAUAUCCUACAUUUGCACGGGAAUGCUAUCAUUAUGGGUUCUGCCUAGUUUGGGAAAGUUUUUGAGGAAAUGGCCAAACUUUUUAAGGCAGAUGCUGAAGCUCUGUUUUGCUAUUGUAAUCCUUCUCUAAUAUUCCAUUCCUCGGUUAGCAAGAAUCUAAGCAGAUCAUACCAUUCUAAUGAAGUGAGGAAUAGCUCUAUGAAGUGGUCAUAAUAGUUUGGCCGACUCUCUCCAAGGUAUGAAGGCCAUUGGAAGAAAGCUAGCAUAUAUGAUGCUUUGCUUCUGUCUAAGCAUUCAAUUAAUAGAUAUGAGAAUCUCUUUGCUGCUUCUUUAUGUUUUUGGAAUUCUGCUACAAACACUUUUGACUUUCGUGUUAGCCCUAUGCCUCCAACUCUGCUCGAUAUGGCUCAAAUAUUUGGAUUUAGGCCACAUGAAAGGCCUGCUGAUGCAUUUGGAGAUUAUCACAGAAGGAAAAAUGGUGAAAGAGUAGCUAAAACGAAGCCUUGCCAUUCUUGCCAACGGAAUACCACUUUCCAACAAUUAUUGAGGCCAAUGGCCUUUAAUCUCCUGUUAAUUUAAUCGGAGUCUCCUCCAUGCUUCUCUGAUUUCUCUUUUUCAAAAUGUCGAUCAUUAUCCAAUAGAGCUAUCUGUUUGCCCCUGAAAGUGGAUUUUUCAAGCAAAAAUUGUGCCAUUGCCUAAACGUGUGGCAACUCAAUCCUGUUAAAAACACUGGAUUUUGGUAUGUCCUGUAAUUGUGCUUGCAUAAUCCUGCUGAUGAUACUUGAUUCUUGCCCCUACUAUACUGGAUGGAUUUAUUUAGAUGGAUUGGAUAGCCUUGUUAAGGCACUAUCCUUCUUCUAUGGUUUAAUAUCUGCAUUUUUAUGGUUAUCUCUGGCUCAUUCACACCUUAUAUUUACAAUAAACAACAAUUCCAGACAUAACAGUUGCCUUUGAUCUAAUCAAAGUUUCCUUGAUAACCCUCCUAUUUUGACAGGGACCUAUCUCCACAGUUGCCUUUGACUGAGAGCGUUUUUGCAUAUCCAUGAGUUAAAAACGAAGAGCAAAUUUACUGGCCAUACUGGAUUGUGAGAAGUGGCUUUGGAGACACUCUUAGAGAGGUGCAGCCGACAGUGAGAGAGAGAAUGGACUCAAAGAGUAUACUGGUGAUGUAGCUGACAAUGAGUUGGUCUUGUUGGUACCACUGAGCACGGGCAGGAUUGGUUUGGGUAAGAGAGAUGGUGGUGAUUGUGGGUGUUACGGUGGUAGAAGUGGAGGUUUGAGCAGAAGGUUGUUUAUGAGUGCCUUCGAUAAAUUUUCAGAGGUCAUGACCGACUCAAAAGAGUUUGAGUUGGCAGAGCCAAAGGAGGUAGUUGGAGUCAGUAAGCUUGAUAAAAUAAGAACAGUUGGGGUUAGGGAAGGAGAUGGUGGAUUCAGACGAAGCCAUGAGGUGGACCUAAAGGAAACGAUUGGAUCGAAUAAGGGAGAGGGAGGAAACCCUAGGUAAGGCUGAUAUCAUGUAGAGAAUAUAUUUUCUUGUAUUAAACAGAAUACACAAAGUCCCUAUUUAUACUGAUACAGGAAAUCAACUUAGGAUAGGAAAUAAUAUAGACAUGAAUACAAUCCCAUUUACAGCAGGAAAAGCUAAUUGCUAGGAGGAGAUUGUGAAGUUGACUUCCGUGUGUACUAGGAAAGGAAAGCUGCGUUAACAUCUUUCUUUGGCCAAUUUAGAUUUACCAUAUUGACUUGAGUUUUGGGAAAAGGGAUUGUAUCAAUAGUGGGGACCUUCUUUGCUAUUUUCAACUUUCUUGAGGCUAAUGCUUCUUAGACAACAUCCCUUAAAACAACACAGCUAUUGGUAGUGUGAUUCAAAGAAUAUUAUGCCACUUGCAAUACUGUCUUCCCUUCAAUUCUUCUGACUUUGGCAACCUGUGUCUAGGUGGUGUAUCUAUAGCCUUCUGAGAUAACAUUUCAUCAAACAAACCGUCUAACUUUGAUAAAUCAAAAGAAUAAACCUUGUUUGUUGGCUGUUUAUUUGGAAUGAAACCUCCAGUGAAGGGUGGUGGUUUUUGAUCCUUUGGUGCCUUUAGCAAAACUUUACAACUUAUUGUCCCUUUAUUUUAGCCAUUUUUGCCACCACUGCCAUAGUUUCCUCUGGUUCUAGCUCCUUUUCUUAUUCUACCUGCACCAAAUGUAUUGAAGAUGAAGGGGUCUUGUAGUAUGUACAUUUAGAAGCAUUCCUCUUCUGUUGUUAUUCCUUCAAUAAUUCUUCAUAUUUGGUGACCUUAUCCGCCAGUUCUGCUAAGUCUCCAAAUAUUAUUCCAUUGAACCUUUUUCUCAAGGAGAUCCUCAAUGAUGUCUGUCCCAUCUGGAUAAAGUGCCUCUCAUAUAUAGGAAUUCUAAACUUCAUUUUCAGCUUUCUGAACCUAGUAAUAAAGUCAUGAGCUGCCUCAUUCUCACUCAGCUUCAGUACAGUCCUCAGGCUAGAUUCUGUACUAGUAAUCAUGGAAAGCAGUGCUUAGCCUUUUUGCAUAAUACAGUGGAUUAGGAUAAGAAAAAUAGGAUUCCUAUGGAAGAACUUCUUUUGGGGGGGGGGGGGGGGGGGGGGGGGGUUUUCCCUUUGGGUUUCCAAAAAAUUAAAAAAAAUUUUUUUAAGGGCCCCCCUUCUUAGAAAUUUUUGGGAAUUUUUUACUCCGUUAAAAAUUGAGAAACCUUCCAGCAACCUUCUUUUUUUUUUUUNNNNNNNNNNNNNNNNNNNNNNNNNNNNNNNNNNNNNNNNNNNNNNNNNNNNNNNNNNNNNNNNNNNNNNNNNNNNNNNNNNNNNNNNNNNNNNNNNNNNAAAGAAACUUGAAUUUUUCAAUCCAUCUGUUUUUGUUAUCCAAAGCAAAAACAAAAAGUACUUGUUUGCUCUUCCCUUUUCCAUUUACUUGUUGUGUAUUUUCAGACUCCAUUUGAGUGCAGCUAUGAAUUUUAUCAUGUCAAUCAUAAAAUACAGCAUAAAAAAUAUCAAAAAAUGUACAUCAUCAACCAUAGAUUAAACAUGACACAUCUUAUGUUGAAUGGAAAAGGACGCAGUAGGAAUUUACAGAUUUGGCAUCCGAACUCUGAUUGGCGUGUAUGAUACCUUUCUGAAAAGGAAACAAUGCUACGAGUCAAACACACUGCUUUGCUAUGACGUAUGGUGGAUUUUGGGCUUUUGAGGUCGUUUAGGCUUCCAAAACAGCAUUUAAAAGUUGAAAUUUUUGGAUUUUCGUUUUUUUAAUGUUCAUUUAUAUUUGUCUCAGUAUUUUUGUUCGAUUAUAGAAAGGUUGUCAAUUAUUUCAAUUUUCUAUCUAGUCGUAUAUAGAUAUUUCAAAAGAAAAAGUAGUAACAAGCAUAAACCCUAGUAAACAAGCAUAAACCCUAGUAACAAGUAUAAGCCUAAUAACAAGAAAAACACGAUGAAGAAAAAAUCAUGGAAAAAGAAAACCCAACAAGGUAUGGAUCAAAGAAAAAAUAGGGAGCAUACCUUCACAGAUGAAGGAAUGAAGAUGUUCAUCUUCGCAGAUAGAAAAGCUAGGGCAAGAGAAAAACGUAUGAUGAAAUACUUGGGAGGGAGGUUGGAUUAUUUUGGUCUUUGUUAUUUAUAACUCUCCCCUUAAAACCUUCCAAAUAUAUCACCUUUCGAAUACACCUAGAUUUGAUUCAACUUUUUUAUAAUCCUAAUUGAAUACACCCAUAUUUGAAUAGACAUUUUAAAAGUUCAUAUAAGUCCGAAUUGAAUACACCCAGACUUGUAAAACCUCUUUUAAAAUUUUGUAUAAAUCCAAAUUGAAUACACUCGGAUUUUUAAAAUCUUUUUAAACGCUUUAUAAUCCUAAUUGAAAACACUCUAUUGGGAUUGUCAUUGCAGCUGCCAUUGGAUUCUAUCAAGCCUAAAUACAUGAUUAAAUAAACUUACAAAAUUUAGAGAAUCUUUCUAUCUUUGCGUGUCUAUUGAGACCGGUUAAGUGUGAACUACUAGGGACUGAAACAUAUUUGUACUUUUUAUCCUCUAAUUGAUCUUUUCCAUGUUUAAUGUUCUCACUUAGAAUUGAAUUUAGAUGGAUAACCUUUAUUUGGAUAAUAUCCAACCCAUACAAGUGAGACAUUUAGUAUAAAAGUUCCAAUAUUUGAAAUUUCCAAGCAAUCUUGUCCAAUUACUUCUGAUAUAAGCCGUCUUUAACAUUAUAUUGGGCAGAAAAUCAGAAUAUUUGGCCAUCUUCAACUUUGUGAGAUGUUCAAAUUUGGUCUACUUCCAGAUUCUAUUUUUGUAUGAAGCAACAAGCUACAAUUAGAUAAUAACUUACUGAAAAAUGAGACAAUAAAGUGGAUGAGGAAUCAAAAUAUAUCAUUACAUUUUCUCAUGUUUCCUGCAGAAUAAAACAUUUAGAAUUGUACAUGGCUUAAAAGACAAAUCUUCUUGUCAUCCAGUUCAAAAUUGGAGUUAUGAUUUUGGGCUCAAUAGUCUUCGAAUCGAGAGUUCAUGAUAUCGUCAUUCGACUGCUUCACAAAUUUUGUAUCUUCGUGCUCAGCUCACAAGCACUUUGACCAUCAAAGAAGGCUUCCCAGAUUCAUAAGCAACAGAAAAAUGUGCAUAUGAUCAAUCACAGCCUCUACUUCAUCUUGACACGGCGAGUUCUUCUGAUCGAACUGAGGCUGAUUUGGAUAUGAACCAGAUUCACUUCAUUUGCGUUCAUUCAUACACUUAAGCUGCAAGUGAGAUGAAUGAAGGUUUCAUCACUGCAGGGGAUUGUGAUACCACCCAUUGGAUGAUCAUAUCCAAAUUCUUCUUCUGCUUGACUUAGCAAAUCCAAGAACAAAGGCUCAUUCAAGUAUGAUAUUGGAACCACAAAUCGCUUCUUCUGGCUCCCCCCAACAUACACUGCAAAGUAGCCUUUUGGGAUGUCUACGGUGUUUGAAGUAGCAGCCUUGUUUAGACCCUUCUUGGAGUUAACAAUUCCUGGCAAUCGGAAUCCCAUGGUUUUUAUAUUCUCAAGUGGAAAAUUUGAACAAGAAAGAAUUCAGAGGACUUGGGAAACAGAGAAGACUUUGAUGCUUGGCAAGGAGAGAGACUUGAGUUGUUGGUUAUGAACCUGAUCUCUUGUGUAUAUAUAGAUGAAAGAGUAUCGCCUUCUACAUGAAAUGAGUGGUCUCGAGGCGCAGAGAUUUGCCCCAGUGAAGGAUAAUAGCUUGUGAGAAAUCAAAACAUAACAUGGGUUGUCUUCCCACUCACAUAAAUCAUCUCCACAUGCAAUGACAAAACUGUAUCCCUCUGUACAAACAUCAUUCCCCACGUCUUAUUUCAUCGAGUAAUUUGUUGUGGUCUAAAGAUUGCUAAUGUGUUCCUGUCAAGAGACUAUGGACAGAUAUGUCUUAACCCUGUUUUGUACUUCAAAGAAGUCUUUUCUAUCCACAUAUAAAGAGUUUGUAGGUGUCACAAAAAAAAUUGUUGGGCAUCAUGUUCUCCAACAAACGUACAGACGUAAUAACUACCAAGUUCUUGAGAAUGAGAUGGAAAACAGACCAUGUGAUCCCUCAAAUUCUCAUGCCUCUUUCCAAUCCCCACCCAAUUGUCCCCAUUUCAGAUAUUUUCCUCUACACACCCUUUCAUCUAUACGUAGACACACACAUACACACAGAUGAUCCCAUAAACAAUUGAAAUCCUGAGUCUUUACAAACAUGAAAUCUAAUGAGACGUGAUCCUAAAAUGAUUUAGUUUCCUGUUUUAUUUGUAUUUAUUUCAUAGAUUUGCUGUAUAUAUUCCUUAUCUCUCAAGGACUUGAUUCUUGCCUAGAAUAGGAAAUCCUUUGUGUAGACACCAAGCAAAGCAUUGUAUAUAAUUAUCACAUGAUUGUUCAAUGAAAAUCAUCGAGAAUAUUCAAAACCUUUCAUGGUAUCAAGAGCCUGAGACUCACAGUCCUCGAUCCUCAAUUUUCUUGUUCCCUGUCUUUUUUUUUUUUUUGUUGGCACCAUGGCUUCUUCCUCGUCUAUUGAUUUUCCUAGCGUUCAUCAUGUUAUCUCCAUUCGUCUCAAGUGUGAUAAUUAUCUGACGUGGCUUGCUCAAAUUGUUCCUAUCCUUCGCAUCUGCCGCUUGCUCAGCUUUGUUGACGGCACUUCUCUGUGUCCUCCGACCAUUCCUGACCCAAAUGCUAAGGCCGAUGAAUCUACUUUUCUGUCUCUCCUCCCCAACCCAGAGUAUGAUGAUUGGGUCCAGAAAUAUCAGCUUGUUUUCUCUCUCUCAUCAACGGUUCCUUUCACCAUGAAGUUCUCACCACCGUAGCUUCCAAGACCAUCGCUGUGACACUUGGGUAGCCCUUGAAACUCAUUUUGCUUCUCCGAAUCAGAAUCGUCUUCUUCAACUUCACAGUAACUUGCUUUGCACAACCUGUUGUGAAUCUUCCAUCACUGAUUUCCUUGAUCGUAUUAACUCGAUUGACGAUAACUUGGCUCUGGCAGGUGCUUUAGUUGCUGACUCUGAUCUCCUUGUGAUGGUUAUGAACAACGUUUGUCCUCUUUAUGAAAAUACCAUUGCCGCUACUCAAGCUCGUGAGAAACCCAUCAAUAUGCCUGAUCUUGAUGCUCUCCUCUUGUCUGCUGAACGUGGCCUGUAGUUAUCUUAUUCUCUGGUCAUGUAUUCUGGUGCGACAGCUAUGGAAGCUUCCCAUGGUGGUCUCGGUGGCUGUGAUUUUGGCGAUUGUGCUGGGUUUGCUGGUCAUAGUCCCGAUCUUCCCAACUCAUUCUCUCCCUCACGACUAGGUUUUACUUCUGGUCGCGGUUUCCCUGGCGCUUCCUAUGGCGCCUCUAGUCCUGCCUCACAUCAACAACAUUUUGGUAGCAAUAUCGAGCUGAGUGUUCUUGGCCCACCUCCUUCUGGCUCUACUGCUUCCUCUUUUGGGCUUCAUUCUGCCCCUAGGCCUCUUCAAUGUUUCAAUUGUCAUGGUUUUGGCCACAUCGCAGCUGUCUGUCCUUCCAAGACGUUUUCUGUGCCUUCUCCUCUGUCUCGUCUUCAAGACAUAACUGCUCAAUAUCCUUCACAUGGUGGCCAUCAACAGUGGGUUGAUGAUACCGAUGCAAACACUCAUAUUACCAAUGACCUGAGCUUCUUAUCCCUUGCUAAACAGUAUCAUGGUUCUGACAAUGUUGGAGGUGUGCUUGGUGGAACAGGUUCGCCUAUUAAAAAUAUUGGUCACUCUCGUUUCUCUCACCUUAAUUCUUCUUUUCAUCUUAAUGAUAUUGUUCAUUGUCUCGAUGCAUCUCUUCCUCUCUUACCUAUUCAUAAAUUUCCCACUAACAACCAUUGUUUCUUCACUUUUUUUCCUAAUUGUUAUUUUAUCCAGGAUUUGGGGACGAGGAGGACACUUUCUUGGGCAAGAGUAGUAAUGGCCUAUAUCCCUUUUCAUUUACACCGAAUGAGUUUUUUCAAGUUUUGCGUGAUCGUGUUGCUUUACUAGGUGUCUAUGUUGACCGCUCUGUGUGGCACUCUCGCCUUGGUCAUCCUGCUUCGUCUACUUUGCAAUUUUUGUUAUCUCAUAAUAAAUUGCCAUCUUCUGGCUCUGUCUAGUUCUUUUUGUCAGUCAUGUACGUUGGGUAAAAGUGUUAAAUUACCCUUUAGUCCUUUUUAUGUCCUUUCUUCUCCACUGAAACUUAUUCACUCUGAUGUAUGGAGUUCUUCAAAUAAAUCUAUUUCUUAUUUUAAUUAUUAUGUUUUAUAUGUUGAUGAUUUUUGUCGUUAUUCUUGAAUUUUUCCAAUGAAAUUGAAAUCAUAAGUUUUCUCUCACUUCAUUAAAUUUAAGGCUUUGGUUGAAAAUAUGUUUUUCACUACGAUUAAGGCAUUUCAAUCAGAUGGGGGUGGGGAAUACACUAGUCAUCAAUUUAAGAAUUUUUUAUCUCAUCAUGGCAUUCAUCAUCGUCUUUCUUGUCCACAUCAUCCUGAGUAAAAUGGUUUAGCCGAACGUAAGCAUCGUCACAUUGUUGACACCGGGCUCACUCUUUUAGCCAAUGCCUUUAUGCCUCCUUCCUAUUGGGCUGAGGCCAAGCACACCACUGUUUAUUUAAUUUACCGUCUUUCUUCUAAGUUGCUUCAGUAUAAAUCACCCUAUGAAUUAUUGUUUCACAAAGAACAUAAUUAUUCGUUUUUAAAACCUUUUGGGUGUGCAUGUUUUCCUUAUUUACGGCCAUAUAAUAAUAAUAAAUUACAAUUUCGGUCUUCCAAAUGUGUGUUACUUGGUUAUUCUUUGAACCCUCAAGGUUAUCGAUGCUUGGAUCUUGUUUCUAAUCAUGUUUUUUUAUCGCGUCAUGUGUUAUUUGAUGAAGUUUCUUUUCUGUUUAACAAGGCACAUGCUGCUACUACUCCAGACCAUUCUCCGUCAUCAGACCUGCCUGUCAUCCUCUCUGGCCCAAGUUUAUCUUCAUGCAGCCCAUGCCUUCCAGUGUCGUAUUCUCUGCCUAGUCUCCCUUCUUUGGUGCCAAAAUUAGGAAGCGGAGAGUGAGAACUCACACACACGGGUACCAUGGGAGCUUGAACCCAAGACCUCUUGAGAGCACACCAAAAGCCUAGGAAAAUCCACCUAACACCCCAUUAGUCGACAGUAAAUAGUUCAAUUGCAUAAAAAGAAAACAAGAAGACUUAAUGGAUAUGAAAAAUAGUUUUUCCAACAUAUUUCUUCCCUCGUAUAAGUACAUUAAAAAUUGAACAAAUGAGAUUCCAAAUUGGUUGUCGUCAUCUUUUAGAUCCUUUUUCUAUCUCUUCAACCGUUGGGAGGGUUUUUUUAUUUAAAUUAUUUUUUUGUCAAAAAUGAUUGCUAAUUAAUUACAGUUUUACUUUUUCUUUUUUGCUUUUGUAAUGAAUAAAGAGUACAAAUGAAACAUCGUCAAAAUUGCUUGACAAAGUGGGCUGUCGUUUAAAAAAAAUGUAGAUUACAAGUUUAAUGGACAAGCAAUUUGUGAUCUAUAAAGAUGUUGCUUCCUAUUGCUUUCACCAUUAUUUCCACCAAAGUAAAAUUUAUAGCUGAAAGUUAGAUCAGUUUCGUACACAUAGUAGAUCCAAAAUGUUACUACCAAAAAGGCUUCAGUUUUAACUUGCUACACUUUGCCUACCACUGGAAAUAUCCAAUUCGGAGUGCAUGAGGGUAAAAUUGAGUGUCAUUAUUGGUAGUGAAAUACUUUGUGAUUAGGAAAUAUAUCUUGACAAUUUGAUUAUAACAAAUGAAUAGAAAAAAAAUUAGAAAUACCUGCAUAUAUAGUUAUGGAACAGUUAGAGAUUGAAAUUUCAACCGGCCAGCAAGAAAGGAAAAGGGAGAGAAUCCCAAAAACAAUAGAAAUGUGUGGCAUGGGAGGAGCCCCUAUUAUGUCACCUCCUUAGUUUUCAAUUAAGAAAACGUAGUGAAAAUAUGAGAAUCCUUCCCAGCCACACAUCUCCAUUGGCCUCUGGGAGGCCUAUCUCCCAUUUCAAGUCAGCCAAUUCUAAGAGUGUAUUAUGCUCUCAAGAUUUAGAGCCCAUUAUUUAUAGGGAAGCCAAGGGUACAUAAGUUCAAAAAAUAACCUAUAGUGCCCAUGGUUUCCAUAUGGUGAGGAAUCUAUGCGCCAUCGUAGUUGUUUCACCACAUGUUUUGACAAUUUUCGUGAGGAAGCGAAAAGGAAAAUUGGGUUGGUAUUCUUGCAUGCUUCCCACACGUCGUAAAAUAAAUUCUUGAUAUACCUAUUAAACCAUUUCUUUUAUCAGUUCACGUGAUGAACACGAUGAGAGAGAUAAAGAGAAACCGGCCGGUUACAUCUGACACCUAUGAACAGAAAAGAAUCCAAAACCGUGAUAGGUUGGUGAAGGGAAGUGAUGUUUUUGGUUUUCCAAAAUUGGAUUUUGGAUUUUGGGGAUAUUAGUACCAGUUUUUGAGCCACUAAAUAAUUCGAUUGCAUAAUCAAACUUAAAACAAAAGUUACAGGUAUGUUAGAUAUGAAAUAUAAUUCAAUUGCCUUCUACUUGAUUAUGAUCUUCCUCGCUGGACUAUGAAUGCUAUUGGGCUUCUAAUUUGUUGCUCCAAAAACCCAUUUACCGCAACGGGCCAUUCAUCGGGCCUCCAUAAAUUCAGGUCCAAUCAACAUUUAUAUGGAGAUGAAUGCUAGAUUGGAAAAUCCAUGAAAUCUGCAGUAUGUGGUGGUGUAGAGGCUAUAUGCUGUGGUGGGGAUGAAUGGGGAGACAUAUGCAUAUGAAGGAUCACAUGGUUCUGUCUUCCACAUCAUCAAGAAUUUGGCAAUGAUUGAGACUUCAUAUCUGUUGGAUUGUGUUUUAGUUUUAAAUCUGAAGUCCUUGCUAGGACAGGAAGCUAGACAAGUUGCUGACUCUAAUAUAUCUUUAUAACGGUAUGUAAAUAUUUUUGUAGUUUGUCAAAAAUAAAAAAAUCUUGUCAUGCACCUAUCAAUAAUACAUUGAGGUUUUUUUUCCCUCAGAUAAUUUGUUUUUCUAAGGGUUUUCAAAAAUCUAGUUUAUGCAAGCUGGAAUUAUGCAAAUAGACUUUGGCAAGAGAAAAUUAAUGUCAUAGCAUAUUGUCAUGAAACAAAUAUUUGUGUCAGGAGUUGAUUUGCAAGAAUGUGUUUCAUCAAAAUUUGAUAACUUAGGAUCAAUCAAGCAUUAAAAAUGCCACUGAAAUGGGCAUGAUAUUUCCCCAAUCUGUAUGAGGAACCAUGUAAAAAGUUAUAUGGUCAGCAUUUUAGUCAAAUUCUUGUGCAAAUCUGCUACCACUUGUGGGAUUAACUAUAUAACAAGGGCUACAAGAAGAUAAUACUAUAAUGCAAACCAUAAGACAAGAAAGGAUGAGGAUUUCAAAUAGAUUGUAUAUUGCUCCUGGAGAACAACAAAGAAGUUUACAUAGGUUCAAAAGACAGAAUUUGACUGCCUUUGGGUGGGGGAUGAUAUUUGGACCAAUGGUUCUAGGGAGUUCAUAAUAUCAUCACUUGUCUGCUUCAUAAAAGCUCAGCCUAGAAGCAGCUUCAGCAUUUGAGAAGGUUUGCUUUCACCAUAAGAUGUGAGUUGAUUCCAUGGAUGAGCAGUGGUAGCCUCUUCUUCAUCCCAACUCAGCGAGUUCUGAAAUGUGGAUGCUUUGGAUAUGAUCAUAUCCAAAUUCUUUCAUCUUGGCUCAGUGAGCUCUGAAAUGAGGAUGGUUUGGAUAGAUUGGAUGACCGAUUCGUGUACACUCACACACUUAAGCGGGAAGUGAGAUCAAGGAAGGUGUUUUCACUGCAGGGGAUUGUGAUACCUCCCAUGGGAUGAUCAUAUCCGAAUUCUUCUUCAGCUUGACUCAGCAAAUCCAGGAAUAAAGGCUCAUUCAAAUAUGAUAUCGGAAUCACAAACCGCUUCUUCUGGCUCUCCCCAACAUAGACUGCAAAGUUGCCUUUUGGGAUAUCUAAAGUCUUUGAAUCUGCUGUCUGGCUUGAACUAGAUAGAGAUCGAAUGAGACUUCUCUUUGCGUUAACAAUUGCAGGCAACCGGAAACCCAUGAUCUUAUAUAUUCUCAAAGGACAAAAGAAGAGAGGGAAUUCAAAGGACUUGGAUUUGGAAAGCAGAGAAAGCUUUGGUGCUUGAGAAGGUGAAGACUUGAGUUGCUCAUGAUGAACUUG
This 80567-nucleotide long non-coding RNA is filed under the name Prunus persica (peach). Its description in RNAcentral is "long non-coding RNA (PPER_LNC008258)". The record is from RNAcentral. Lineage: Eukaryota; Viridiplantae; Streptophyta; Magnoliopsida; Rosales; Rosaceae.